CAUGGGAAAAUUUCUAUAUUCAUGUAACUAUGGCGAGCCAUCACCAUUUGAUGGGCUUGCAAAUCCGAGUUUUUUCAUUUUUUUCUGAUUCUUCAUGAGGUCUUUACUGGUAUAGAUGACAACAAUGAGCCAGUUCACAGUGCCUGAAAUCCAAGACACUUCUUCUCUACCGGACUGGCCGCUUCCUGCUCAUUACUGAGCAAGGAGAGAAGGAUUGCAGGAACUGUGGAUGGAGUGUGUAGUUACAAAUAAUAAUUUCAUGUACACUUCCUAUGAUGGAAAGCGGAUCGUGUUGAUGAUUCGUUCAAUAAAAGGAACAUAUGGGAUAUGCUAUUAUCCUCCAUUGUUGAAGUAUGAUAUCUUGCUUUUGUUGGCUAUAAAAAAUUACUCAACAGAAAUCAGAGAUAAUAAUACAAAUUAUAAAGAUACAAUGCAAAUCUCUUAAUCUUCUUAAGAACAUAAAGAUUAAAUAAUCCACCAAUCGAGGUACACAUAAGUUUUAACCUAAUUGGAUAUGAUCAUAUCCACGAUCAUUCUAUUGUAAUAAAAGAAAUAUUAUAAAGAACAUGAUAAGAUAUAAUGAUUAAAUUUCAAAAUAUCUUACAUUCUUUUUCAAAAUAUAUAUAUUUUUUUAUUAAACUAAAUAUCCCUUCUUCCUCACCUAAAAUAUUUAUAGAUAUUCUUAAUAAAUUUUUAUUUUAUAAAAGUUCCAUUAUGAUGAUAUAUGAAUUUAAAAUAUGUUUUUUUUUAAUGAUAUUAGGAAUUCGUGACAUUUUUAAGUGCAAAACAAAUGUACCCUUGACUUCUAUUCCCUUUCUAUGUAUUUGCGUAUAUCAUCCUCUAAGUAAUUAAGUACAAUAUUUGUUCAGCCUAUUGUUUGUAUGGGACGUCCAAAUUAUAUGAAUGAAACUGUAGCUCCUUUGGCUUUUAGCUGAUGCAGAUUGCCAGUACUAUUUGUUGUAAUUAGAAUUACCUAGAAAUUGAGAACACUAUUGUAAAAUACCAAAAUUACAUGAAUAUUGGUUAAAUAGUAAAAACAUACAUCAUUAUUGUAUGUUUGGUUUAUGCGAUUUGUGCGCAUAUCAUUCUCUUUAAACAAAUUGUCGGGUUACAACAAUAUGUUCGAAAAUAGAUCAUCCAAAUGAGAGUUCUUAGGAUAGGUUAAUUGUGGAAUGUGACGACAAAUAUUAUGAAAGAUUUUAUUUACUCUCACUAAAUAUGAAUUGACUUUUGAUAAGAUGAUCAAAAAUUGAUUCACUGAUCAGUAUUGUAUAAUAUACUAAUAUAUUAUUAUCUUAUUUGUUAAAACUCACGUGCAACCCUAUAGAAGCUGGCUCAUGAGACAAAAUCAUGACUAAGCUUUAAUAUAAAUGUAACUAUGUAAGUAACUAGGGACAUUACCCAUAAGAAGUAAUUAGCAUGAUACACAUAAUUGUUCAUUACCAAGGAUUUAAGCAUGUGGGUGAUCACAUAAUAAGUUAUAAAGUAAAGUCGUGUCACUCAUACAUCAUACAAUUAGCUUAACAAUCACAUAACAUAAUUAAUUUAACAGCUGUCAUGUCUUUAUUCCAUUGGACAUUCUCUUCUCCAAAGAGAAGCACUUUGAUAUGUCUUUCUUUAAUUUUCUCUCUUCCUAAUGAUGAAAUUUGAAGUCAUGUUGAUGAAAAUAGAAAGGAAGAAAGGGAUUCUUCUAUCUAUAAUCCAACUAGAAUAUUGAAGUAAAAUUUUUGUGCAAUGUGGGUCAAAUUGGGCAUGCGCUAGAGGUGAUACAUGUUAUAUACCCCCAUGAAUUCAAGUUUAAGUUUCCCUUCCAACAAAUUUCAUUAAGAAUAGUUUUAUUCAAGUAGUGAAAUAUUGGAAGUACAUUCAAUAUUUUCAAAUACUAUAUAAUUAAACAUGUGAGAUAUUAUUAAAAUAUGCACUAGGUAGUGGCAUAUGUGCAUUUCAAUUUCAAUAAUAUUAAUAUGAUUGAUAUAUGCUAUGCUUAUUAUUGCGAUUGCUUAGUAAAACAUGUUAUAACUUGAAAUAAUUUAUAGAUCAAAAUUACUGGCUACACGUGGAUACAAAAACAGUAAGCUUCUAAUUUUCUUUCUUUUGAAUCAAUCAGUGUCUUUUUAUGGGUCAGAUAUUCAGUGUUUCGAGACUGUGACCCAUUUCACCUUUUGAUUAGAGCAGUACCAUAACUAUAUCCAUAUCCUAACUUUGUAGACUUGAUGACCUACCCAUUUUGAGUCUGACAUGACACCACACCUUGGUACCAUUAUAUGACCUUACCAUUUUUGUUCACCUUAGCAUACUACAGUACCAUUGCUUAUUCUUUCCAUCCUUUAUUUGAUCUAACUAGGUAGAGUUUGAGAUGGUUAGACCUGAGGUGAGCUCUGCAUGAUGAUAAAUGGAUCAUGAUGAUAGCGUGGUUUGACUGCUUGAUGAUAUUGCUGAGGCAGAGGGGUUAUCAUGGAGCAUCCAUAUUUGAGCCAUUGCACAUGACUUCAGAGAGUCGAGAUGACUAAAGAUGGUGAUUUUAUGAGACGAUGGUGAAUGACUUAUGAUGAUAGAGUGAGGUGAUUGUCAGAGGGCUUUAAUGAUUAUCACAGAGCAUCGGUGGGAGCUUUCACAUGAUUGCAAAGAAGUUGACAUGGUUGUGUUUGAUAGAUGUUAGUAUUUGGUAUUGACCAUGUGAUAUAUUGAGGGUGUGAUGUAUGUGGUUGUGGUUAAAUAAUGGGUGGUCAUUGUUUCAUGAGCUCAUUUACCCUAUUUACUUUAUCAUCCUCACAUAUAGAGUUACAUGUUGCUAGCCCUUUGAGCCUCACACGAGCAACAUAACCUUUUAUUUCAUCACUUCAUUUACCUAUUACACCAGGUUGGGGACCCUAUAGUGUUUGCAUGCUUUGAUUAAAUACAUCAUGAGUUCUAGACCUGACAUACAUAUUCAGGCCUCAUCUCUCACCCUUCAUUGUGAUAUUUUCCAUUUUGACAUCAUCUCAUCACUUUUUUCGGCAUCACAUAUCACCACUUGUGAUAUUCAUUAUCUAUCUUUUCUCUAAUCAUUGUUUAAUCAACAUUAUCCUUGUUUCACCUUGAGUGGUGGUUUUUCACACAUCACUGCAUGGAGGAUUGUCACAUUCUUUUCCCCCGUUCACCCCAUGGGCAGUAGUUUAGAGGUCUUAGUUUGAGAUGUUGUCUUAUUAGUGAGGAUUCAUGUUAUAUCUGUAUGUGGAGAUGGUUUGAUCAUUUGGGUAUGUAUUUUCAUUGGAGGUCAUUCAUUAUUGAUCAGAGUAUGCACAAAAAAAAAAAAAAAAAAACAAAACAAAGAAUAUAAAAGAUAAUGCAUUUUUCAUUGUACCGUUUUCCAUUGACUACAUGUAUGGAUGUGCUGGUUUGCUUCAUUGAGUUUGUGUGUUAAAGAUAGUUCAUAUGGGAGUUUCUUUUUGAGAUUUUAUCUUAGUAUAUAUUUGGGUGAGAGUAUGAGUCGUCCAUUCGAUUUUCGUGAGAGGCGAGCAACCUUUUUUUAGGAUUUUUGGAUUUUUGCCUUAUUCGUCAUUGCAUCCAUUUUUAUGUGACUACUUUCCAUGUUUAGAUGCAGGUUGACCAUCACUCACUUUCCUAUCUUUUUGUCUUCUUCUAUCUUUAUUUUAUUCCUUCAUUUCACUCUACCUCAUCUGAUUUCUUUCUUUUAUCAUCCUGCUUGAUGUUUGACUUGGGUUUUAUAGGACCUCAGGCGCUAUCAACUCUCCUAAAAGCAAUUGCUUGUAGGAAAGGUGCAUACCAUAGCCUUAUAGUGCAUUCACCUAAGCGCCCAUGGGCGAACACAAGGGGAGUUGAUGGACGCGGCCAACCCUCCGAUGUGCCAACAAUCUCCCCCCCAGCGACACCCCUAGGGUUCAAACCCAUGACCUCGGCUCUGAUACCACUUGUAGGACCUCAGGCGCUACCAACUCUCCUAAAAGCAAUUGUUUGUAGGAAAGGUGCAUACCCUAACCUUAUAGUGCAUUCACCCAAGCGCCCACAGGCGAACACAAGGGGAGUUGAUGGAUGCGGCCAACCCUUCGAUCUGCCAACAGGUUCAAUAUCCACACUUCAUUCUUGCUUAUAUGAUAUGUCAUUCAUUUAUUAUCAUUUUUCAUGUUGGAAUCUUUAUGUCCGCAACUCAUAAUGUUUUAUACGCAUUGCUUCUCAUGCAUGAGGGGUAUAGGGAUUAUAUCAUUGGGAUUAUUGAGCCUAGUUUCCUCUUGUUUCUUUCACCCUCUUACCUUAGUGUAGACCCUCCAUUUUAUUCUCCUAGCACAUGUCCUAUUAGGUAUUUGUUCGAUACUUUACAACAAUUUCCUGGUAGCCCAUUACUACUCGUGUAGCCUAUAUUUUCUAAGCCACCUUGGAGAUUUUGGUUAAGGGAUUUACCUAAUCCCAUUGUGACUUUUGGCAGCCCUAUUUAGACUUAGGAUCACUUAGGCACCUCAGGCUCACUUAGGCACCUUAGUGUCACAAGAUGCUUCACAUGACCCUCUCCAUGGCCUUAUAUAGGAGGAGGAAAGCUUCUAGAGACUUCUAUAGCCAUCUACACUAAGCCAUUAGUGGGAAGAGUGUGGGAGGUUCUAGAAGUGCUUAGAGAUGUCCACACAUCUCUACACUAUGGUGGAAGGCAUGAGAGGAGUCCAAGGCUUUCUAGAGACUUCUAGGAAUCUCUUGUAUAUUCUUGUACAUAGGGUUGUACAUAGAAUAGGGUAGGAUGUUCUAGAAUAUUCUUGAUUUGUAAGGAACCCUCCAAGGUUCUAAAUAGUUCCAUUGGUGCCUAUAAAUAGGUGAGACCCUCAUUUGGCCAAGGCACCACCCAAAUCACUUCCUAACCAAGCAAGUGAGUCUUCAAAGCACUUGUAAAGGCUUCUUUGAGUAAUAAGAGCUUCCAUUCUCUAAGAGUUGACUACUAAGCUUCUUAAGCUUUCGAGUUACGAGCGUCUUAGCCUAGCAAUCUAAGCAUUGGGAGCAAGGUUGACUUAGCAAGGUCAAGCGUCUUGACUUGCCUAAGUGCCGCACGAGCUUAGUGAACGACUAAGUCCGUGACAUUAGGCCCACUUAUGCACCAUAUGUCCACUUAGGCACCUUAGACCCAUUUAGGCACACUUGACCCAUUGGGCAUCACCUUAGGCCCACUUAGGCAUCUUAAGUCCAUUUAGGAACCCUAGGCCCAUUUAAGCACCCUAGGCCCAUUUAGACACCUUAGGCCCAUUUAGGCAUCCUAGGCUCAUUUAGGCACUCUAGGCCCAUAUAGGCACCAUAGGCCCAUUUAGGCACCUUAAGCUCAUUUAGGCACCCUAGGCCCAUUUAGGCACCCUAGGCCCAUUUAGGCAUCCUAGGCCUAUUUAAGCAUCCUAGGCUCAUUUAGGCAUUCUAGGCCCAUUUAGGCACCCUAGGUCCAUUUAGGCAUCCUAGGCCCAUCUAGGCACCCUAGGUCCAUUUAGGCAUCCCAGGUCCAUUUAGGCACCCUAGGCCCAUUUAGGCACCCUAGGCCCAUUUAGGCACACUUGGCCCAUUAGGCACCAUCCUAGGCCCACAUAGGCAUCCUAGGUGUCUAAAAUGCUCAUUUAGACACCUUAGGCCCAUUUAGGCACCCUAAGCCCAUUUAGACACCUUAGGCCUAUUUAUGCACCCUAGGCCCAUUUAGACACCAUAGUGUCAUAUGAUGCUUCAAAUGAGCCUCCUCAUGGGUUUAUAUAGAGCCCAAGAAGUUUCUGGAGAUUCUUGGAGCCAUCUACACUAAGCCAUUGGAGGGAAGAGUGUGGAAGGUUCUAAAGGUGCCUAGAGAUGUCCACACAUCUCUACACUAUGGUGGAAGGCAUGAGAGGAAUCCAAGGCUUUCUAGAGAAUUCUAGAAAUCUCUUAUACAUAGGGUUGUACAUAGAAUUGUGUAGGGUAUUCUAGAAUCUUCUUGAUUUGUAAGGAACCUUCCAAGGUUCCAGAGAGUUCUAUUGGUGCCUAUAAAUAGGUGAGGGCCUCAUUUGGCAAAGGCACCACCCAAAUCACUUCCUAACCAAGCAAGUGAGCUUCUAAGCAUUGUAUAGCUUCCUUUGAAAGCAAUAAAGCUUCCAUUAUUUAAGGGUUGCCUACUAUGCCUUCUAAAGCUUCCAAGUUGUGAGCGUCUUAGCCUAGCAAGCUAAACAUUGAGAGUAAUGCUGACUUAGCAAGAUCAAGGGUCUUGGCUUGUCUAAGUGCCGCACGAGCUUAGGAAAAGACUAAGUCCGUGACACUAGGCCCACAUAGGCAUCCUAGGCUCAUUUAGACACCUUAGGACCCUUUAGGCACCCUAGGCCCAUUUAGGCACCCUUGACCUAUUUAAGCAUCCUAGGACCAUUUAGGCACCCUAGGCCCAUUUAGGCACCCUAGGCCCAUUUAGGCACAUUGGACCCAUUUAGAUGCACUUGGCCCACUUAGGCUCACUUAGGCCCACUUAGGUCACUUUUUAGGUAAUUUUUUGCAUGUUUGCAUGAUUGCAUUUUUUGUAUGACUUGCAUGGCUUGUUUAUUUUAAAGUUGCGUGACUUGACUUUUUAUUAUAUUAUUUUUAUUUAUUUUAUUUAUUAUCUUGUCUUUUUCUUCAUCUAUUUUAUUUCCUUAUUAUUUUGCCACUUUUCCGUAAUGCUUGUCCUUAUUUAUCUAUUUUAAUUUAAUAAUUUUGUGUAAAUAUUUUUAUAUUUUUAUUUUUUAGUACUGUUAUUAUUAUUAUUAUUAUUAUUAUUAUUAUUAUUAUUAUUAUUAUUAUUAUUAUUUUAUUACUUGUCCUUAUUUAUUUGAAAUUUUGUAUGAAAUGUAUGGAAGGUGUGCACGGUAUUGAUAUUUGGAAUGUGAGAUUUCCUUGGAUGCAUGAUCAUUGGAGAUGGAAUGGAUACCAUAUUGAGAUUGGAAGAUACGUUUUGGGAGAAUUUAAGGAAAUGUGGCUCUAGGAGAUAAGGAAACAAUUGAAGAUUGACAUGGCUUGGAGAAAGAAAUUGGAGUUUGAGGUUUUUCUUUAGAAAGAGAGACAAUUAAAAAGAAAAAAGAAAAAGGAAGACUACCAAUUUGGUUUUGGAGGAAUUAUAAGGUCGUGCAUUUAAUGAAGAAAGUAAGUGGGUUCUUUAGAGGAAAGUGAGAUUUUUCCUUAGAAGCAAAAUAAAAGUCAACACCUUUUGUUUGGAAGCUUGAGACCACACUUGGGAAGGUUUUUCAGCACAUUUUUUGAGGAUAUGGUUCAAAAUGAGGGUUGUGUCUAGGUAUGGAAAAGAAAAAUUUAUGGGCAUGAUGAAGAAAGGAUUAAAUGAGAGACUUGGUUUCAAGAAGUGGAUGAAAGAGAGGAUGGCAGAGCAGAUCCUUUCUGAUAUCUCCACCGUGGCUGCAAAAAGGAAUUUGUGGGGGGGGGGGGGGUGCACAUUUUAGAGGAAAUGAUUGAAGGAAGAUUGGAGUAAAAAAUGAAGAACAAGAUUUUUUUUAGAGAGGAUCUGCCAUUUAAAAUAUAGAAGCACCAAAAUUUCUCAAAGGGGAUCUGAGACACCCAAGUUUGAGACACCGCCAAGAAGAAAUCUUCAUGGACAGCCGCACAUGGGAGGAGAGGGUAGUGGUUGCACAUAGGGAGGAAUGACAACCACUUGAUGCUUAGAAAACAUUGAUGAUCAUGUGGUUGAACUUUGAAGAUGCAUCCAUUACAAAGAGCGGGCUGCUACAUGAAAAAAAAAAAAAAGAUUUUUUUAGAGAGGAUGAUUGACGAUUUUGGGUAUUCAAGGGAGGAAUGACAACCACUUGAUGGUUAGAAAACAUGGAUGAUCGUGUGCUUGAACUUUGAAGAUGCAACCAUCAUAGAAAGCGAACUGCUACAUGGAAAAAAGAUGACUUUUUGAGAGAGGAUGAUUCACGGUUUUGGGUAUUCAAGGGAAGAAUGACAACCACUUAAUGUUUAGAAAACAUGGAUGAUCGUGUGCUUGAACUUUGACGAUGCAGCCAUCACUUUGGAUUUUUUUAAAAUUUUCUUAUGUCACUAAUGCUCGGAUCCGUAGAAAUGCCACCAUGCUUUGACUCCACUUUCAUGUUGAAUGUAAGUAGAGAUAUUUACAUUUGAUUGAAGAGAUGUAGCAAUCAUAUUUGAGAAGAAUUGCAACAGCCACUUUGUCAUGCUUAAUGGAGAAAAAAAAAUUCAUGGCAUAUGUGUGAGAUAAGUGGCAAUCACGUGGUGCUGUAAGUGGAUUCUUAAUGGCUGAUUUGUUUUUCCUUGAUACUUAUUCAUGGAUUUCAAUGGUGUUAGGAGGAGAAAGAAUUUUUUUUAAAAGAAAUUUUCAACACGUGGAGGAGAGAGUAGAGAGAAUGGAGUGUUGUUUUUUCUAGUUGUUGGAGUGUUACAUCUCAUAUUGAAAGCAUGGAAUUAAAAAGGAAAGAAGAAAGACUUAAAAUAGAAAGCAAGUUAGAUGAGAAGAGUUAGUUAGAAGAGUUGUUAUUUCAGUUUAUUCUUUACUCUGUUAUUUUGUCAUUGAUGUAUUAUAAAUAGGACUCAAGUCUGAUGUAGUUUUUCAAUUUUUCAGUUUCUGCAAUUCAUUUUCCUUUGUGUCCUAUGUUUCUUGGUGUUUUUCAUCAGUUUCAUAUUCUUCUGAUUCUCAACAUGGUAUCAAAGCCAAACCCUAAAGCUUCCAUAACCUAAAUCGAUCAAUUUCUUCUCAACUUCUGCCUUGCGAAAUUCUACUCUAGAAUUCUCGCAUUGAUUGUCUUCCAGCUUCUUGCAUUUUCUUGAAUAAAUUCUUGAAAAUGAGUUCUGGUGAUUCUCCUCUUGUCAAUCCCUCUUCUAUGCAUCCUUCUUCAUCUAAUUCUUUUAAUCAGCCUCCUAUCAAUCCUUCAGAUGACUCAUCAAGUUCGUAUUACCUACAUCCAAGUGACAAUCCUGGUGCUUUGUUAGUAUCAGAAAUCUUCAAUGGAGAAAACUAUGUUGCAUGGAGUCAUUCAAUAGUCAUUGCAUUGACAGUAAAAAACAAGGUACAAUUUAUAGAUGGUUCAAUUGUUUCUCCCUCUACUGGUCAGCUUGUUAAACACACAGCAUGGUUAAGGGCAAAUAAUCUGGUUCUUUCUUAGUUGAUGAAUUCCAUUUCAAAAGAAAUAUGAAAUAGUUUGUUGUUUGUGGUAUCUGCUGUUGAUAUUUGGAAUGAGCUUAAAGUCAGAUAUCUCAGGAGUGAUGGACCAAGGGUUUUCCAACUUGAGAAAUCUUUGAGUUGAAUCAGUCAAGGUGUUUUGUCUGUCACUGAAUAUUUCAGUACCUUUAAGACCCUUUGGGACGAGUACAUUAGCUAUAGGCCAUUUCCAACAUGCACUUGUGGCAAGAUGGCAACAUGCACUUGUGAACUUUUCAACUUUCUACAAAUCAUAUAGCAAUCUGAUUAUGUACUCAAAUUCUUGGUGGGGCUAAAUGAUUCUUAUGCCUCUAUCAGAAGCCAAUUGUUGCUAACGGUUCCAUUACCAAACAUGUCCAAGGUUUUCUCUCUAUUGCUUCAAGAAGAAAGUCAGAGACAACUCACAAAUUUUGCUACAUAUAAUGAGACUCAUGCUUUGAUGGUAAAGCAAUCCAAUCAGCAUAAUUACUAGCCACAAUCUUUCAAGGACAAACCAAAGAAAUCUGCCCUACACUGUAGUCAUUGUGGCUAUAAUGGUCACACAAUGGACAAAUGUUUUCAACUUCAUGGUUAUCUCCUUGGCUGGAAUGGACUAAAGGGAAAAAGAAAUAUGGCUUAUGCUUAUGCUGCCAUUACUACUCUAGAGGUCCCCAAUCAAAAUAGCAAUGAGCAACAAAAGUUUUGUUUCACUCCAGAGGAAUUUCAUAAACUAAUGGCGCUUGCAAAUUCAGUUCAACCCAAUUCUUCCGAUCAGAAUAAUGUCCAACUAGCUGUUAACCUUGUCUCCAUCUCUCACUUUUCUGGUAAAGUUCAACCUACACUUAAACCAAAAUUUUUUUUUUCUUGUAAUUCUGUUACUUCUAAGACAAAUUCCACUUCAUAUUGGCUUCUUGAUACGGGUGCAACAUACCAUAUGAUUUGUUCACCACUUUUAUACCAUUCUACACCUAAACCAAUUAAUGCAUCCAUCAAUCUUCCUAAUGGUACUACAGUUCCAACCACACACAUUGGUACUGUAUGUCUCUCAAAUUCCUUAUUUUUACAUAAUGUCUUGUGUGUUCCUCAUUUUUCAUUCACUCUAUUAUCCGUUUCCAAACUCACUAAACAAUAUAAUAUUUCUCUUACCUUUACUACUUCUCAUUGCCUUUUACAGGACCAGUCAAUGGAAAAGAUGAUUGGGAUUGCUCUUGAAAAAGAAGGACUUUACCAUCUAAUUCCAGCUUCAUCACAAGCUAAAACCUGCAAUUCAUUUCAGUUUAAUUCUGCUCCUCUUGCUUUGUCCUAUAUUCACAAACACUUAGAUAUAUGGCAUUGUAGAUUAGGAUAUGUAUCUAGUUCAAGAUUCCAUUCCCUCAAACAGAUUGACUCUACUAUCACUCUUGAUCAUACAAAUGAUUGUGACAUAUGUCCUUUAGCAAAGCAAAGAACGCUUCCUUUUUCUGUAUCAUAGAGUAAUUCUAAUAAAAGUUUUGAUUUGAUCCAUUGUGAUAUAUGGGGUCCUUUUAACACUACUUCUUAUUUUGGUUUUCGAUAUUUUUUAACUAUAGUCGAUGACUUCACAAGGUGUACUUGGGUAUACAUGAUUAAAGCUAAAUCAGAAGUGCCAUCUUUAAUCAAAACUUUCUGUAAAAUGGUAGUAAACCAAUUUUCUUCUUCUGCCAAAUCUAUAAGAUCUGAUAAUGGACCAUAAUUCUUACUCACAAAAUUCUAUCUUAAAUAUGGUAUUUUGCAUCAGAGAAGUUGUGUCGAAACUCCUCAACAAAAUGGUGUUGUGGAGAGAAAACAUCAACAUUUACUAAGCACUACUAGAGCCUUAAUGUUUCAAGAAAAUCUACCAUUAAUUGUUUGGAGUGACUGUGUGCUCACUGCUGCCCACAUAAUCAAUAGAAUUCCCACUCCUCUACUUCAAAAUAAAACCCCUUUUGAAAUGAUUUUUAACAAAACACAUAACCUUUCUCAUUUAAGAGUUUUUGGCUGCCUUUGUUUUGCAUCCACUUUAACUAUUCACAGACAAAAAUUUGAUUCACGAGCCACAAAGUGCAUCUUCCUAGGAUAUCCUUAUGAUAUUAAGGGUUAUAAACUUAUGGAUCUAAACACCAAUAAGAUCCUUGUUUCUCGGAAUGUCAUAUUCCAUGAAACAAUUUUUCCUUUCCAAGUAUUGCCCCAACAUCCUGAAACUCAUUCCUUUAUAUUUCAUUUUUCACAAUCCUUUUCAGAUUCACCUUCUACCACCUCAUUCUUCAAUUCCUAUCACAAUAUGGGAUCUGCAUCACCACCUAAUAAUUCUCAUUCUCUCUCUGAACCUCCUACCCUUCUUGAAUCCAACUUACUUACAUUUCUCUCUCCAUCCCAUCUGGAUUCAACUGACCCUGAAGUCCUACAACUCAGAAAUCAACCAGAAUUAAACAAAAACCUUCAUAUUUGUAGGACUAUUAUUGUGGUGAUGUCUUUUUUUUCUCAAAAUGCAACUCAAGCAUCUACUUCAACUGAUUAUUCUCCUACUAAAGGUAAUUUCUAUUCUUUUCACCAUUUUCUUCUACUAGUAGACUGUCUACACCCCAUAAAGCUUUUCUCACCUCUAUCACAAACUCUCCAAAACCUAAAUCAUACACCCAAGUUUCUCACCUCCCCGAAUGGCAAGCUGCCAUGCAACAUGAACUUACUGCUUUGGAGUUAAAUAAAACUUGGGAGCUUGUUACUCUUCUUAAAAAUAAAAGGACUAUUGGUUGUAAAUGGGUAUUCAAAGUGAAAUAUAAAGCUGGUGGAACUAUAGAAAGACAUAAAGCUAGAUUGGUGGCAAAAGGGUAUACUCAGCAAGAAGGCCUCGAUUUCUUUGAUACUUUCUCUCUCCUGUGGCCAAGAUUAUAUCCAUUCGCUUACUACUUGCUGUGGCUGCCGUCAAACAGUGGCAUCUUCAUCAACUAGAUGUCAAUAAUGCAUUUUUGCAUGCUGAUUUACAUGAAGAGGUUUACAUGGAAUUGCCUAUUGGGUUGGCUGUCCAAGGUGAACAGAAAGUUUGUCGUCUUUUAAAGAGCCUCUAUGGCUUGAAGCAAGCUUCCAAGCAAUGGUAUGCCAAGCUAUCCCAGGCCAUUCUUUCCUAUGGAUUUGUUCAAGGUAAUUUUGACUAUUCUAUGUUCAUUAAGAAAUCUAAAAGUUCUUUUAUGGUCUUAUUAGUUUAUGUGGAUGAUGUGCUAUUGGCAAGUGAUAGCAUUCUGGAAAUUGAAAGGUUGGAGACCUUUUUAGAUGCCAAGUUCACUAUUAAAGACUUAGGCCCACUGAAAUACUUUCUUGGCUUGGAAGUUGCAAGGUCCAAGACUGGUAUCUUAUUAUGCUAAUGAAAGUAUAUACUUGACACACUUAAGACAUUGGUUUAACUGGAUCCAAACCUACUGCUUUCCCUAUGGAAUCUACCCUCAAGUUAUCAGCAAAUGAUACCAAUUUCUAUGAAGAUCCAUCAGGUUACCGAAGACUCAUUGGCAUAUUACUUUACUUAACUCUCACUAUGCCUGACUUAGCCUAUUCUGUAUGAGUACUCAACCAAUUUUUAGCAAAACUUGCUGUCAGUCACCAUCAAGCGACUAUUCGAGUACUGAGGUAUCUAAAGGCCACACCAGGGCAAGGUCUCUUUUUUCUUUCUUUUUCAGAUUUUCAAUUAAAGGGUUUUUCCGAUAGUAAUUGGGUAGGUUGUGUCGAUACUAGAAAGAGUGUCACUGGUUUUGCAAUUUUUCUUAGCAACUCAUUGAUUUCAUGGAAAUCAAAGAAACAAGUUAUAGUUAGUCGAUCCUCUAUAGAGGUAGAGUACUGAGCCCUUGCAACUACCACCUGUUAAAUUCAAUGGCUUUUGUAUGCCUUACAAGACCUGGAUUUCAAACAUUCACAGUCAGCUUUGCUAUAUACUGACAGUAAAUCAACAAUGUCCAUCGCCAUAAAUCCAAUUCAGUAUGACAGAACAAAGCACAUCCAGAUUGAUUGCCAUCUUAUUCGCGAAAAAUUGCAGCAGCAUGUUAUUAAGCUUUUCCAUAUUCCAUCGCGAUUACAGCUCGCAGAUAUCUUUACAAAGCCUUUCGGUUCUCUACCUUUUCUUUAUACUCUUCGCAAGAUGAACAUCAUUAACAUCUAUGUUCAUCUUGAGGGGGGAUGUUGGAGUGUUACAUCUCAUAUUGAAAGCAUGGAAUUAAAAAAGAAAGAAGAAAGACUUAAAAUAGAAAGCAAGUUAGAUGAGAAGAGUUAGCUAGAAGAGUUGUUAUUUCAGUUUAUUUUUUACUCUGUUAUUAUGUCAUUGAUGUAUUGUAAAUAGAACUCAAGUCUGAUGUAGUUUUUCAAAUUUUCAGUUUCUGCAAUUCAUUUUCCUUUGCGUCCUCUGUUUCUUGGUGUUUUUCAUCAGUUUCAGAUUCUUCUGAUUCUCAACACUAGUGAUAUCCAACAUUCUGAAGGGGUGAAGAAACACGUUGAUCUGGAUGGAUUUGGAGCAACAUGCCAUAUGUUCUGAUCUUUCAACAGCCCAUGCAUGGACUCUUUCCCACAGACUGCCACUUGGAGAUGUGAGGGUUACAUAGCAUAUUGGGAUUAAAAGAGUUCCCUACAUAGUUCAGAAAAGAUAUAUACAGUACGCAUGAUUGGAGAAUUGACACGUAAGUUGCCAUGUUGAUAAGGAUUGAAGCACACAACCGUAUUCCCCACCAUCAAGGGGACUGACACACAUCAUUGAACACUAGCAUGUACAUUGAGUGCAAGAGAGGGCGACUGCAUCAUUGAUUCUCUAGGGACUAGUAGCCAUAAAUUCUUUUCAAAGUGGGUUGCUGAUUACUACUCAAAAAGAGCAUAUUUUAGAUAAUAAUUCUCAUGAUUUUCACGUCUUUUGAGUAGUAAUUAUGCCUAAAACACUCAAUUAACAUGUUGUCUCCCUUGCAAGAGUUACUAACAAGUUUUAUGAAGUUUUGAAGUCAUUUCAAGGUAUUUUUUUGAUAAAUUGGUGACAAAAGAGAUGAAUCAAAUUGAAAAAAACAAAUAAAGUUGAUGAUGAUCCAAAUGCAUAAUGAAAAAAGCAAUGCAAUCGGUUUGGAUCGGGAUUUGGAGGUAGUUGAUGUGGAAUCAAGAGAAAGAAAUGAGAGAAAUUGCAAAGAGGAAUCGAAAAAGCAUGUUUUUCAAUUUUGCAUGACCAUGCGAAAUUUUCGCACAGUCAUGCGAAAUGAAACAUAAUAGACUUGGCUGCAGCACACAAAGGAAACGUGAAAAGUGAUUUCGCAUAACCAUGCGAAGUUUUCGCACAGUCAUGUGAAACGCUCCAGGAAGACGAAAAUGAAGCUGAUGGACUUUCCACUUCGCACCAUCAUGCGAAAUUGCUGGGGGCUCAUGCGAAAAUGCAUUUUCUCCAAAUUCCUUGAUGAAUAAGCAUCCGGAAGACCUCUUAGAUGAUGUCAAGUGUCCUCUUGACCUUGGCCUAUAAAUAGAAACGUGAUUGACUCAUUUGAGGACUUUUGAUACAUUUUCUAAUUGUAGAACUUUUUUGAUUUCUUUUCUCUAUAUAAUUCUCUACUUUCCUUCAUUUUCUCUCAUUUUCUCGGUAGCCAAACAUAUCUUGUGAGAUCAAAUCUCCAAGCAUGAGUGGCUAAAUCUCAUUUUUCUCGGAAGAGGGAGGAUCUAGAGGUAAGAUCUAUGGUGAAUAAGAGAAUUGAACUUGAAUUGCAAAGGUAAUUUGAUCCAAUUGAUUGAUUAAUUGAAAUUUGGGGAUUUUUCUCUUCAAAUUGUCUUGGAUGAUUACUAAAAUGCAAGCUAGGUAGAUUCAUCAAAUUCUUAAUGCUAGAUUUGAUGAAAUUGAAUAGUUGCAUAGUAUGAAUCAUUGGAAGAUAAUUUAAGAUGAAUUGAAUAUAUGAUUCAAAUUGAUCUCUUGGAUUAGAUUACCUAAUUUGAAGAGAGAUUAGAUCUAGACCUAAAGCUAAAUCAAAAAUUGGUUUAGAUGAAGAUUUAGGUUUUCAAUCUAACUUAAUGAAAAUUAGAUCUCAACGCCUAUUCACCAUAGAAAUUGCUCUCUAGAAAAUCCUAACUCCAAGAAUCUCACCUCUUAUUAAUUUUCUUCUCUUUUACACUUCAUUUUCCUCUCAAUUUGAAAGCAUUGUUAUUAUGAAAUUUUAUCAUGCAUUUUCAAAUCAAUUUCAUUUGAUCACAAUCAUUUCUUAUCAUCUCAUUUAAGCCUUAAUUACCAAGAAUAAUCCAAUAUUGUGGACGGAAUCCCUAAUGGCUUUGUGGCCCGACCCACACGCUGUGUUAGGUUCUCGUUGCGGGAGAUCUUGGAACGUGCCUGUCGUGUGAAUGCGCAUACAAAUAAGGUCACUAUUCGCCUACUACUAAUAAGGGCGGAUAGUGGAUUCUAGAUUAUAUCUUUUGGGUAGGCUAGACUGGGGUUCUGGGAAAAUCUAUAACCACUAUACUACAGUAGUUUGUACUAAAACCACUUUUUGAUCAGGUACAAAUUGCUAUAGAAUAGUGAAUUGGGUUAUAAAUUUUGUUUUGAUCCAACAAACGACAAAAUCCGAGCGAUCAAAAAUGACGCCAUUGUCGGGGAUGGUGCCAAGGUGAUUAAGGCUAAUUUUUUUGGUGAGGAUUAACCCUUGUGAUCCACAUCACAAGAUUGGUGAAGUUCUCUUUACCAAUUUUCCAUUUUUUUAUUAUUAUUUUUAUUCCAUUUUUUAUAUUUUAUUUUUCUCUUUUGUUUUUUUUUGUUUUGUUUUGGUUUUUCUUAGCUUGUUUUGUAGGCUCUCCAUUGCAUGCUACAUUGAGAAUAGAACUCAAGGGAGAGAUUGAAAAGGACUUAUAUUGCUAAUCAUUUUUGGUUUGUGAUCCAAUUGUUGAGGAAAUGGAAAAUCAAGGGGAAAAUCAACAAACUCAACAAGAACCAAACAAUGGCAAUUCUCACAUGUCUAGAUCAAUGAGAGAAUAUAUGCAUUCACAAAGGAUAGGCAUGGGAUCAUGUAUAGUUCUUCCUAAUGAACCUAUUGUGAUAAAAACUCACUUGGUACCACUUCUACCGCAAUUUCAUGGAAUGGAGAAUGAGAAUCCUUACACUCACAUCAAGGAUUUUGAAGAAGUUUGUCAUACUUUUCGAGAAGGGACUGCAUCCAUAGAGCUUAUGAGAUUGAAGCUUUUUCCAUUCACAUUGAAGGAUAAGGCUAAGUUGUGGUUCAACUCAUUGAGGCCCCAAAGCAUAAGGUCAUGAUUGGAACUACAAACAACUUUCUUGAAGAAAAUUUUCCCCAUACAUCGCACAAGUGGCUUGAAAAGGCAAAUUACCAAUUUUGUGGCAUUGGACAAUGAAAAUUUUUAUGCUUGUUGGGAAAGAUAUAUGGAAGUAGUCAAUGCUCGUCCUCAUCAUGGUUUUGAUACAUGGAUGUUGGUGAGUUACUUCUAUGAGGGCAUGUCGCCAACUAUGAAGCAAUUGCUAGAAACCAUGUGUGGAGGUGACUUUAUGAGCAAAAGUCCCGAUGAAGCCUUUGAAUUUUUGAAUUAUGUGGCUGAAAUAUCAAGGUCAUGGGAUGAGCCACAUGAAAGGGAUUUACACAAGUCCAAGUCUCAAAGCAAUUCAAAAAAAGGGAUGUAUAUGUUGAAUGAAGAUGUUGAUUUACAAGCUAAAAUGAUAGCUUUGACAAAAAGGCUAGAGGAACUUGAAGCUAAGGGAUUUCAUGAGGUGAAUUCGAUAUAUGAUAAUCCAAUUUACAUGGAGCAAUGUUCUAGUUGUCAACCUAUAGAACAUGAAGUGAGUGAUUGUCCUACAAUACCAACUAUGGGGGAAAGACCUGUUGAGAAUCAUCCGAACAUGUCAUGGAAUUGUGGAAAAAAGAUCCUUCCACAAACGACAAAAUCCGAGCUAUUAGCUGCCACGCUGCCACCUUUCAAAUACCACACAUGGAUGCCUUGGAGUUUUAAUUGACGCACCAAGAGAUCCUUCCACAAUUGUAUACAUAGCCUGCAAUGUAAAGGAAGGUGAAAGACAUUGCAACAGUUUGAUUCAAUGAGGAAAGGUAAGUAAAGGUUUUGAGUUUUGGUUUUUAAAAAUUGAAAAUUCGGAAUUUUGUUAAUUAAGCUUCAAUUCUUUGUUUUAGACAAAAAAAAAAAAAAAAAAAGUUAUGAUCUUUGUUUCGAUUUAGUUUUGAUUCUUAUAUUAGUUCGAAAAUGUUUAUUUAUUUUUUUGUUUUAGUUUGAUUCUUUGACUUAGAUUGGAGAAGUUUGAAACUUUGUUUUGGUUUUGGUUUUGGUUCAUCAUGAUAGUUCUAUAAAGCUUGAUAUUUGUUUGGAUUCAUUUUUAUUUUCAAUAAGUUAGAAUUAUGUUAUAUUUGAGUGUUAUAUGGGACGUUAUAUUUGAUUAAAUUGUUAGUUCUCUUUAUCUUUGAUACUUAUUUUAUAAGCACCUUAGAGAAUUCUUGAGUUUGAACUUUCUUUAGAAAAAGUUUUUCAUUAAAUUGACAUUUUGAGUUGAGUCAAAUUUUCUUUUUUCAAAAAUAAAAUUUUCCAUCAUAAGUUUGGCUCCUUGAUCCCAAAUGAAAGGUAGCCAAAAAGAGGAUCCAAUUUAGUUUUUCUCUUAUUUUCAAAACCCUCUCAAGUUAGAAAUCAAAAAUCUCUAUUUUGUAUCUAUUGUAUGGGAUUUAACAAACCAUUGGGUCCUUUUUUUUUUACUUCCCUUAAAUUCAUUUUCAAAAUCAUUUAAAUCACAAAUAAAAGGUUUUAGAAAACAUUCAUUCUAGCUUUAGGCAAAGAACACACUUUCUAUUAAAAUUAUGCAACUAAUUUCAUUUAAGUUACAUUUCUCCUUUGUUGUUUUUUUUCAAAAAUUUGGUUUUUAUUCACAUAGGUUUGGACUUGUAAUCCCAAAACUAAUGGGGAUACACAGGUAAAACUUACGGAAAUUGAAUGGGGACUUGAUGGAACCCCUACAUAAGAAAAUUUUUCAAAACUCUUUCUUGCUGCCAAUUUUCACUCAACCACUAACCUUCUAGAUUUAAAAUUCGUUUAAGCAAAUUUAGAAUAUUUUUUAAAAAAAUUCCAAAACUUGUAUGACUUUCCUCACUUCUUGAACUUGAAUUUAAAGUUUUGUUUGAUUUAGAAAGUCAUUUUAGAAUAGAAGAUAUAAACGAGUCUUUACGGGGGCUCCGUUUUCACCCAAUUCUAGACACUCGAGAUCUUUUUGAAAAAAUAAAAUACAAGAAGACUUUUUAAAUUUGAUUGAAUAUUGUUUCUCAAUUUUAGGCUUCUUGAAAUGGAUCUUAGACACAUAAAAUAUUAAAAAAUAUGUCUUUUUGGGGGAGAUAUGAUUUUUCAAAGUCGUACCUACUGUGAAUACUGGAUUCUGGACAUCUGAUUAGUUGGAGCAUUGUAAAAAUAUUUUUGAGUAUUACCCAACCCUGAAUUUAUUUUUCUUGUGAUAUAGACACCUUGAAAGAUGUAUGUGAUUUUUUUAUGAAUUUAUGUGAUUAUUUAUUAUUUUAAAAAAAUUGUUUAUGCAUGUCACUUUUUCUUAUCUAAUUUGGACUUUGUAGAACCUUUAGGUGUCUUUGUUGCAACCUGUCCUUUGAAUGAGUGUUUGGAUUUCGGUAUGUUGAUCUAGAUGUGUAGGAGUCAUUUCCUGAUAUUUUUCAUAAUUAAAUUCCACUCUAAGCCAUUUUUUUUAGAAAUUGUUUUGUGAUGAUUCCUUUUCUAACAACAUGCUAAUGGUUUUAUACUUUACUUGAAAUUGUUAUUAUUUUCGGAGUCAUUUGAUUUAUCUUAGCUUAAUUUUGGCUUUGGCACUGUAUAUCAAAUAUAAUAAAGAUGUUUUUUGAUAUAUACUUGCCCUAACCACUCUAGCAUUUUUUUAGGAAUCUUAUAAAUUAUGCAUGCUAUCCAGGUACGCUCUCUAUCACUUACUUUUCAGAAUUCCAUGAACAUACAUGUUGUUAUGAGCCUUAUUUAUGCUUGAUAAGAUCCUUAGAUGCCUAGAUGUAUGUUUGAUUUUCUUAGAUAAAAUACAUGUUGUGUGCUAUAUUUUUAUACUAACUUUGAUGUUUUAUGAUAGCGUAUAAGAAGCAGUCUAGGUACACACCUGAUUACUACUCAAAAAGAGCAUAUUUUAGAUAAUAAUUCUCAUGAGUUUCACAUCUUUUGAGUAGUAAUUAUGUCUAAAACACUCAAUUAACAUGUUGUUGCCCUUGUAAGAGUUACUAACAAGUUUUAUUAAGUUUUGGAGUCAUUUCAAGGUAUGUUUUUGAUAAAUUGAUGACAAAAAAGAUGAAUCAAAUUGAAGAAAACAAAUAAAGUUGAUGAUGAUCCAAAUGCAUAAUGAAAGAAGCAAUGCAAUCGGUUUGGAUUAGGAUUUGGAGGUAGUUGAAGUGAAAUCAAAAUGAAGAAAUGGAAGAAAUUGCAAAAAGGAGUUGUAAAACCCUGUUUUUCAAUUUUGCAUGAACAUGUGAAAAAUUCACACAGUCAUGCGAAAUGAAACAGAAUAGGCUUUGGUUGCAGCACACCAGGGGAAAAGUGAAAACUGAUUUCGCAUGACCAUGCGAAAUGCUCCAGAAAGACAAAAUUUGUGCUGAUGCAUUCUCCACUUCGCACAAUUGUGUGAACUUGUUGGGGCUCGUGCGAAACUGCAUUUUCUCUAGAUUCCUUGGUGAAGAAGGCUUCAGAAGACCUCUUAGAUGAUGCCACAUAUACACUUGACCUUGGCCUAUAAAUAGAAACUUGAUUGACUCAUUUAGAAACUUUUGAUACAUUUCCUAAUUGUAGAACUUUCCAGAUUUCCUCUCUCUAUAGAAUUUUCUACUUUUCUUCAUUUUCUCUCUAGCCAAACAUGCCUUGUGAGACCAAAUCUCCAAGCAUGAGUGGCUAAAUCUCGUUUUUCUUGGAGAAUGGAGGAUUUAGAGGCAAGAUCUAUGGUGAAUUAGAGAAAUGAACUUGAAUUGCAAAGGUAAUUUGAUCCAAUUGAUUGAUUAAUUGAAAUUUGGGGAUUUUUCUCUUCAAAUUGUCUUGGAUGAUUACUACAAUGCAAGCUAGGUAGAUUCAUUAAAUUCUUAAAGCUAGAUUUGAUGAGAUGAAUAGUUGCAUUGUGUGAAUCAUUAGAAGAUAAUUUAAAAUGAAUUGAAUAUAUGAUUUGAAUUGAUCUCUUGGAUUAGAUUACCUAAUUUGAAGAGAAAUUAGAUCUAGACCUAAAGCUAAAUCAAAAAUUGGUUUAGAUGAAAAUUUAGGUUUUCAAUCUAACUUGAUGAAAAUUAGAUCUCAAUAUCUAUUCACCAUGGAAAUUUAUUUCUAGAAAAUCCUUACUCCGAGAAUUUCAUCUCCUAUUAAUUUUCUUUUAUUUUACAUUUUAUUUUUCUUCUCAAUUUUAGACCAUUGUCAAAUUGAUUUUUCAUCAUGAAUUUUCAAAUCAAUUUCACUUUAUUACAAUCAUUUCUUAUCCUCUCAUUUAAGCCUUAAUUACCGAGAAUAAUCCAUCCUAGUGGACGACACUUAAAAACCACUAUACUACGGUAGUUUAUACUAAAACCAUUUUUGAUCGGGUAUAAGCUACUCUAGAAUAGUGAAUUAGGUUAUAAAUUUUAUUUUAAUCAAAUAAACGACAAAAAUCUGAGCGAUCAUCACCCUAAAUUUUCUUUCUGGUUUGUAAUUGGUUUUCUUAUUUAGCAUGUUAUUUUUUGGAAAUCACCUUAGUUUACCUAGAUACCCUCAAUCAACCGAUUAAUUGUCACAUUCCCCUUAACUUAGUCAGUAGAGACCUCUUUAAGGCUUAGAGUGGUGCUACCUCUUAGAGGUAUCUUCCCAAUAGGUAACCUGAUCUCUAGACCUUGACUCGGGUUUUUCACAGACACACUUUUCCAAAAACUAUAGAGUCAUUUUUUAGGGUUUUAUUUCUUAUUUUAUUUUUCCUUUAAAAUAAAAAUAAAAUAAGUGGUGACUCCAAUUUUUCUAAAACUAUUUUUUCACAAAUAAAAGCGAGUCUCACGAUCGAGUGGGAGCACACGUGAGAAAUGCUGGUCCACAAAUUGGCGACUCCACUGGGGACUAUGAGGAUCAAACUUGAACACUAUUUGAGGAAAAUGUGGCAUUUAAUCGGUCGAUUAGAAGGUACCUCCUUUUUUAGGUAAGGUUAUCUGAUCUUCUUGCUUGUUUGGUAUGCAUCUUAACAUGUUUAAUUGCCUUGAAUGAUCACUUGACUGAUUUGUUCAUUUUAGCAUGAUUCACUCUCACAUAUGCUAGAAAUGACUUAGUUUGUAUGAUACAUAUCUAUUUCGCAUGACUGUUUGUUGCAUGACAACCAUUUCUCUUGCAUGAUUGCUUGUAUUUGUUUACUAUCUCACUUUAAAUCUUAGGUUUUUCGGAUGCACCUACUUCAUUCACUGUGCACUUUAGAUUAUCCUCGAAUGUUGAGAUAUGAGAUAGCCUUCACCAUUAAGAAACCCCUUGGGAACAUGAGGAAGUGCAUGUGUGCAGGUGAUGACCACUUUGCAUGGAAGCACCAUGUCUCUUUUAAGGUGUGCAGAGGGUUGCGUACCACCGGAGGGUACGAUCGCUUCUGCUAAGGAUCCUUUAACCCACCCAUUUUAUCUUAUAGAGCCACCUUAACCUUAUAGGUUAGCCUAGACCCAAUUAAGAUUUCACUCUUACACGUGGGUGCAUUUGUGGACCUUCUGAGCUGCCUUAGUCACAAUUGGGUUCAGUUACCCUCUUCAUGGUCUCCUUUUGGUGUGCUCAGAGAUUGGUACAUGUUUGUGUUUCAAUUGAGCCACAUUUUUGCAUUGUAAUUAGUGCAUUUCCACCUCUUUUGAGCUUCAUUUGUGUCAUUUAUCUUUUCGUGUCUUUGUACCUUAUAGGAGUGUUAUUCGCUUCAAUUUAGAUUUGACUUCUUAUAUUGGAGUUGGAGAUAGAUUGAUCAGGGUUUCAAAGCAAUCAGGUAUGGAUCCUCAGCAUGAUACAAUUGAUCGACUUACAAUCGCCAUGACUCUAUUCAGGAGGCAUUAGUAGAUUUGAGCCAGAUGAUUGAUAGACGGUGAGAUAGAUCACAUCUAGUUCAUGAUGAGAUGUCAUGUGAUUUAUUGCCUCCCACCACCCAGUUAGCCAGUGACAUUGUUAAGGGUGACAUCGUACAUAUGAUGAGUUUAGUGGAUACUGAGUCAAAGUUCAUCGGAUGAGAGUUCUUAUAGAGGAUGUUGUUUUUUCUCUAAGAUGGAAGAUUUGAUUGACAUGGUUUUCUUCAUGAUGAGCCUGAGAUUGAUGUAUUGGAUUAUAGUUGGAUGGUUAGCACAAAUUAGCUAGAGAUAGUUCACUCUCUUGAUAUGCUUGAAAUCUCCAUCGUUGAGAGUUCAGAAGAGAUUCAGUUUAUUUAUGUUAGGGCAUCCCGCUUAUGUUGAUGAUAUGUUUGAGGACGAUGUUAGCCCAGUUAUGGUCAUAGAGAUUCGUCUAUUCUAGGAGACCCUAGGGACUUACUUAGAGUACACCACAUGUCAUUAGAGAGUUAACCAUAGAGAGGAAAUAUGACUGAUAUAUCUGGAUAGAGACUAAUUCUCAAACCUUACCAAUGUGGAUCAGUUGAAGAAGUAUUACAUUUGAGACCAUGGUCGCAGGAUGGGUGGCCAUAAUUUCGAUUAGCCUUACACUUUAUCACUUCUAUCUAUAUAUUAUAUCGUUGCUAGCCCAUUGAUCCUCAUGUGGUACGUUAAAGCCUUUUUCUCUUUCUUAUAGCCUUGAUUACCAUUUCUACACUCGGGUUGGGGCCCUUUGAUGUAUAUGCAUGAUUUGCUAGGAAAGUCUCAUGAGCUUUAUACUUAUAGACCUAUCUUCUCAUUCUUGUUACUAUUCUCUUAUCAUCCCAUUUGUUUUAUUUUACUAUCACCAUAUUUUCAUUCUUUUUCUUGCUUUUAUCAUUAUUUGCUUUAUUUUAUCUCUUCUCUUCCUUGGGUUGAUGAUUCUUCACAUCUUGGUACAAAAGAAGGUAGUCAUAGCACUUCAUUCAUCCCAUCAUUUGGCAUUGAUUCGGAGAUUUUAGUUUGAGAGGUUGUCUCAUGGGUUGGGGGUUCAUGUAUUCAUUAAUGAUUUGAGAGAGUUUGUUCAUUCCUUACUUCUUUCCCAUUUGAGUUCGAUUUAUUGAUGAUUAAAGCAUGCACAUUAAAAAACAACAAAAACAACAACAAAACAAAAAAACAAAAAAAAAUCAAAAAAAAAAAAAUGCAAUGAUAUGUUUGUGUAUGGUAUCUUGCUCCAUUGGGCACUUAUGUCACCUUUUGAGGUCUAUUUAUUAGGCAUAUUUGUCAUUAUGAGUUCUUGUGAGAUUUUUAUAUGAGUUUCCACUCCUUGAGCCACUCUUGUUAUGCAUUAGGAGUGUCAAGGGUUCAUGUGAGUGUUCUAUGAGAUCCUAUACUUCUUGGAUCAUGGUUGAUAUGCAUUAGGUAUGAAAGAUAAGUGACCUUUUACUAGGGUCUUUGAAUCAUUGUCUUAUCCAUCAUUCCAUCAUUGGUGAUAUGACUUUCUUUUAUUGUACUGAUAUGGGUUGAUCAUCAUUCAUUCCACUUUCUCAUUGCCUUAUUUUGUAUCUCAUCACCUCUUUCCAGAUCUUCAUUCCACUUUUUAUCCAUUCCCUACAUAUUGAUACACAUUACAAAUUCGAUAUCUUCUUCACAUCAUUCACAUGUUUCAUUGAUGGUUUGACCACUCAUCAUUUUUCUUGUUUCACCAUCAACAUUUUCUUUGGUUACCUUUAAGUCUAUGGAUCAUGAGAUUUUUCUAUUCAUUACAUCUUGUACACGAGGGUAUGGGUUUGAUCAUUGGGUAUUUGAGCCUAGUUUCCCUUCAUUUCUUAUACCUUAUCACCCUGGCUUACGUUACAUCUCAUGUCUUAAGACCACCCUAAGGCCAUGAGAUCAAAUGCUAUCUUUGAUAGCCUCUACUUAGGCUGGUGUUUGGGAUUUGGUUGACAUAUAGACGUCGUCCUAUUUUUUCUUCUAGGGGAUGCUUCUUUGAUGCUUGGAGGUGAUUUAGUGAUGGAUGUAGACAAUUGCUUCAUCUUAUAGAUGAUAUUUAAUGUCGUCUGGCUCCCCAUUCUACUGUGUAUCAACUAUCAUACUGGGGCAUAUUCCCCUUUCAUUUGGUUGAGAUGAGCCCCUACUUUGAGCAUUGGCAUUUUCAUCGAUCAAAGUUCUCUAAUGGAGCAUUGUUGAGCUCAUUAACGAUUUUCAUGAUUCUAGGUUCCAUUUGCGGAGUAUUUCUGAGAUGGACUAGUAGAUUAUUGUUGAGCUGGGGAUAGCUGAUUGAUGAUGUUUGAUUCAUUCUUUGUUGUGCACCAGAUAUCCACACUGGGGCAUAUUUCUCCUUUUUUCGAGAUCCUUAGUCGUGGUUGGGUUGUGUGGCUAUCCUUGAUCUUGAUUAUUAAGAUGCUUGAUUGAUGUUAGUAGAUGGUUUAUUGAUGAUGAAAAAUGUGUGACAGGUGAUGUCAUAUUCUUUGUUGUGUACUAGAUAUCCAUACUGGGGCAUAUUCUCCUCUCCUUGUCAAGAUUUUGUUUGCACAGUGGUAUGAGGACGAAUGAUUGAUGUUGGUUAUUUACCUCAUGACUUUGACAUCAGAUCUUAUACUAGUGCAUAUUUCUCCAUUUCCUUUUAGUAUCCUUGAGAUUAGGACAACAGUCAUCUUGGUUUUAGAUUGAGUACUAGUAUGGGGCUUCCGACGAUUGACUGUAUCAGGACCUCCCUACAUGGAUUUGUUGAGACAGAGAUGGAUUACAUCAAGUUUCAUUCGAGGAGCAUAGGUGGAUCCUUUAGCCAGAUGCUCAUGAGAUAUAUUGUUUUGGUCAUUGAUUACCUUGCCGGUUGGGUUAUCCAGAUGAGCGGUAUUUUUAUGCACUUUGAGAUUUUCUUUUAGAUAAGUCGCGUUUACACACUCCAAGAUUUACGUUUUGAGAUUCGUCAACAAAGAAGCUCUUGAGACAUAGAGAGUUCUUUCAGUUUAGAUUUCUCAGAGGUUCGUCAUGAUACAUUGGUUUCUAACCCAUUGAUUUCAGCGGAUGAUUGAUUUACUACGUGUUUCAGCAAUGUGAACACAUUGGACACUAGGGCAUAUUUCCUUUCCUAAGCCUAGUAGUCCAACCCCUUGCAUUUUGAGCAUACGACUUUUAGCCCAUUUGCUUCUCAUCCACUUUCGAGUUGGUCUUCUUUAUUCGUGACAUUUAGAGCCCAAAGCUCUCGACCUAGAGUCGUUUUUCAUUCAUGACCCAAAGUAAUUUCUUUUCCAUUUAGAGCUCAGAGCUCACGACCUAGAUUUGUUUUUAAUUUAUGAACCAGAGUCAUUUUUUUUUCAUUUAGAGCCCAGAGCUCUCGACCUAGAGUCGAUUUUUCAUUUAUGACCUAGAGUCAUAUCUUUUCCAUUUAAAGCCCAGAGCUCACGACCCAGAGUCGUUUUUCAUUUAUAACCCAGAGUCAUUAUUUUCCAUUUAGAGCCCAGAGUUCUCGACCCAGAGUCAUUUUUCAUUUAUAACCUAAAGUCAUUUCUUUUCCAUUUAGAGCUCGAAGCUCUCAACUUAUAGUCGAUUUUCAUUUAUGACCCAAAGUCAUUUAUUUUCCAUUUAGAGCCUAAAGCUCACGACCUAGAGUCGUUUUUCAUUUAUGACCCAAAGUCAUUUCUUUUCCAUUUAGAGCCCAGAGCUCUUGACCCAGAGUUGUUUUUCAUUUAUGACCUAGAGUUAUUUCUUUUCCAUUUAGAGCCUAGAGCUCACAACCCAGAGUCGUUUUUCAUUUAUGACCAAGAGUCAUUUCUUUUCUAUUUAGAACCUAGAACUCACAACCUAGAUUCAUUUUUCAUUUAUGACCUAGAGUCAUUUCUUUUCCAUUUAAUUAGAGCCCAACACUCUCGACCUAGAGUCAAUUUUUUCAUUUAUGACCUAGAGUCAUUUCUUUUCCAUUUAGAGCCUAGAGCUCACGACCUAGAGUCGUUUUUCAUUUAUGACCCAAAGUCAUUUCUUUUUCAUAUAGAGCUCAGAGCUCUCGACUCAAAGUUGUUUUAAAUUUAUGACCCAGAGUCAUUUUUUUUCAAUUUAGAGCCUAGAGCUCUAGACCUAGAGUCGUUUUUCAUUUAUGACCCAGACUCAUUUCUUUUCCAUUUAAAGCCCGAAGCUCUCGACCCAAAUUCGAUUUUCAUUUAUGACCCAAAGUCAUUUCUUUUCCAUUUAGAGCUCAAAGCUCUCGACCCAGAGUCCAUUUUUUAUUUAUGACCUAGAGUCAUUUCUUUACUUUUUAAUACUUAAUAGAAAUAAAAUAUUACAAAGACAAAAACCUAAUAUUUAACACUAUUAACUAUUAAGUUAUAUUUAGAAUUAAGUAAAAAAACAAACACCACCUUAGUGUUCAGAUAAAUGAAGACAGACACGCCCCGUGUAAUGGGCAAUUGGGCGCACCAAAUUUGUAAUCCUAAGGCCAAACACCAAGUUCUAUGUUGACCUGUUGUACUUGUCAAAUGGAUGUUCGAUCUGAGAAAUGUUUUCAAAAAUAAUUUUUAGAAACAAAAUUUUAGAAUAAUUUUUAAAUAUUGUGCUAUAAUAUUUUAUAAAGUAGAAGUUUGUUUAGAAGCCCUAAAAUAUUUUUACUUCCAAUGCAUGUAACAUUUAAAAUUUUUUAUUAAAAUAAUUAUUUUCAAAUAUUAAAAAUAUUAAAAACGUUUCCUAAAAUCAAUAUCAAAUAUAUUUUAAAUAUGUUUUAAAAUGUAAUUUUGCAUGUAAUAUUUUAUGUUUUUAUUAUUAGUAUUUAUAUAAUUACUUUUAAAAUAGUUUUUCAAAAAUAAAUAAAAAUAAUUAAAAAAAAUUUAUUUAAAAAUACCUUAUAAAAAAACUUUGUCCUAUUUUCUGAUUAUGAAAUUUGAUUCUCUUUUUUUUUUUUUAUAUUAAAGAAUAGAAUAUUAUUCUAUAAACAUAGUUAACAAAGUGGUCUGAAUUCCCAGAUUGUCUCCCUAUUUUGGAAUUAUGAUGGGCGGCCUUUCUGUGGCAGCAGGAGGCUCAGUGGGCGGAAUGGAGCCCAUUUUGCAAGCAGGCCACAAAGUCGUUUGCUUUUCGUGAUUGUACUAGAAAUUUCUCUUGAUUUGAUGGCAAGAAAUCAUUGGUUUCAUUUCAAAUAUAUAAAUAAUAUAAUCAUCAGAAUAACGUUUUGGAAAAUUAGACAUUUGUGAAGAUAUAAAUAUAUAAAAUUUUAUCAGAAAUUGGUAGUUAAAAAAUGUUAUUAAAAAAAGGAGGGGAAAAUAUUGAUGGAGUUGAAGACGACAGAAGCUGGCCUAAUUUCAUAAGUCUUCAAAUUCUAUGCAACUUGAGUGUCUCCAAAAUUUAGAAUUUAAAAAUUCGUCCCAAGCCUAACUUUUGUUUACUUAAUUAAUCAAAUGUCUGCCGUGCUAUUAGACCAUCCAACCUCCAUCCUCCCUAUAAAUACCCUCAAAUCUUCAAACCAAGACCAUUCACAUUUUCACAUCUCCCCUCACUCACCUCCUCUUCUCUUCUUCGUCUCGAUCCUCUCCCCAACAUGAAGUCCCUAAAGCUCGUUAUUCUCAUGCUGGCCCUGCUCUUGGUCAUGGCUGAUAUACGCUCAGUCUCAUCAGCUGAAGAAGAAGACUUCAUGUUUCAUCUAGACCAGGAUGACAGCAUCGCUGCUGAAGCUGAAAAUUCUGAUCAACUUCCAUUACUUGAAAGCGAGCAGCCGAUAUCGCUUAGGGGGACUAGCCGCUUUCUGACGGAGGCGGCCCGGAUCAAGGUGACGUGCGACAAGUACCCUACAGUAUGCCGAGCCAAGGGAAGUGCAGGGAAGUACUGCUGCAAGAAGAAGUGUGUGAAUGUGAGGACGGACAGGCUCAACUGUGGGGCGUGUGGGAAGAAGUGUAGGUACUCUGAGAUUUGCUGCAAAGGGGAGUGCGUCAACCCUUCUUCAGACAGGAGGAAUUGUGGGGGCUGCGGCAAGAAGUGUAAGAAAGGGAGUCUCUGCGUGCAUGGGAUGUGCAGCUACUCGUAGAUUUCUGAGCAUUGUUGCUUUACAUGGUAAAAUUUCUAUAUUCAUGUAACUAUGGCGAGCCAUCACCAUUUGAUGGGCUUGCAAAUCCGAGUUUUUUCAUUUGUUUUUUUUUUUUUUCUUCUGAUUCUUCGUGAGGUCUUUACUGGUAUAGAUGACAACAAUGAGCUAGUUCACAGUGCCUGAAAUCCAAGACACUUCUUCUCUGCCGGACUGGCCGCUUCCUGCUCAUUACUGAGCAAGGAGAGAAGGAUUGCAGGAACUGUGGAUGGAGUGUGUAGUUACAAAUAAUAAUUGCAUGUAUACUUCAUAUGAUGGAAAGCGGAUCGUGUUGAUGAUUCGUUCAAUAAAAGGAACAUAUGGGAUAUGCUAUUAUCCUCCAUUGUUGAAGUAUGAUAUCUUGCUUUUGUUGGCUAUAAAAAAUUACUCAACAGAAAUCAGAGAUAAUAAUACAAAUUAAAAAGAUACAAUGCAAAUCUCUUAAUCUUCUUAAGAACAUAAAGAUUACAUAAUCCACCAAUAGAGGUACACAGAAGUUUUAACCUAAUUUAAUAUGAUCAUAUCCACGUGAAUUCUUAAUAAUCUAUUGUAAUAUAAAAAAUAUUAUAAAGAACAUGAUAAGAUAUAAUGAUUAGAUUUCAAAAUAUCUUACAUUCUUUUCCAAAAUAUCUUAUUUUUUUCGAUUAAACUAAUGAUCCCCUCUUCCUCAUCUAAAAUAUUUAUAGAUAUUCUUAAUUUAUAAAAGUUCCAUUAUGAUGAUAUAUGAAUUUAAAAUAUGUUUUUUUUAAUGAUAUUAGGAAUUCGUGACAUUUUUAAGUGCAAAACAAACCGUACCCUUGACUUCUAUUCCCUUUCUAUGUAUGUGCGUAUCUCAUCCUUAAUUGAGUACAAUAUUUGUUCCCGCUGAUAUAACCAAAAAAAUCUUCAGCCUAUUGUUUGUAUGGGACGUCCAAAUUAUAUGAAUGGAACUAUAGCUCUGUUGGCUUUUAGCUGAUGUAGAUUGUCAGUACUAUUUGUUGCAAUUAGAAUUACCUGGAAAUUGAGAACACUAUUGUAAAAUACCAAAAUUACAUGAAUAUUGGUUAAAUAGUAAAAACAUACAUCAUUAUUGUAUGCUUGGUUUAUGCGGUUUGUGUGCAUAUCAUUCUCUUUAAACAAAUUGUCGGGUUACAACAAUAUGUUCGAAAAUAGAUCAUCCAAACGAGAGUUCUUAGGAUAGGUUAAUUGUGGAAUGUGAUGACAAAUAUUAUGAAAGAUUUUAUUUGCUCUCACUAAAUAUGAAUUGACUUUUGAUAAGACGAUCAAAAACUUGAUUCACAGGUUAGUAUUGUAUAAUAUAUUGAUAUAUUAUUAUCUUAUUUGUUAAAACUCACGUGCAACCCUAUAGAAGUUGGCUCAUGAGACAAAAUCAUGACUAAGCUUUAAUAUAAAUAUAACUAUGUAAGUAACUAAGGACAUUACCCAUAAGAAGUAAUUACCAUGAUAUACAUGAUCGCUUGGAUUUUUGUCGUUUAUUGGAUCAAAACAAAAUUUAUAACCUAAUUCACUAUUAUAUAACAAUUUGUACCCAAUCAAAAAGUGGUUUUAGUACAAACUACUGUAGUAUAGUGGUUUUUAGGUAUCGUCCACAAGGAUGGAUUAUUCUCGGUAAUUAAGACUUGAACGAGAUGAUAAGGAAUGAUGGUGAUCAAAUGAAAUUUACUUGAAAUUGCAUGAUAAAAUCUCAAGAUAGCAAUGUAUUCAAAUUGAAUUGAAAAUGAAGUGUAAAAGAGAAGAAAAUUAAUAAGAUGUGAGAUUCUCGGAGUAAGGAUUUUCUAGAGAGCAAUUUCCAUGGUGAAUAGAUGUUAAGAUCUAAUUUUCAUCAAGUUAGAUUGAAAACCUAAAUUUUCAUCUAAACCGAUUUUUGAUUUAGCUUUAGAUCUAGAUAUAAUUUCUCUUCAAAUUAGGUAAUCUAAUCCAAGAGAUCAAUUUGAAUCAUAUAUUCAAUUCAUCUUAAAUUAUCUUCCAAUGAUUCACACAAUGCAACUAUUCAAUUUCAUCAAAUCUAGCAUUAAGAAUUUGAUGAAUCUACCUAACUUGCAUUGUAGUAAUCAUCCAAGACAAUUUGAAGAGAAAAAUCCCCAAAUUUCAAUUAAUCAAUCAAUUGGAUCAAAUUACCUUAGCAAUUCAAGCUCAAUUCUCUAAUUCACCAUAGAUCUUGCCUCUAGAUCCUCCCUCCUCCGAGAAAAACGAGAUUUAGUCACUCAUGCUUGGAGAUUUGAUCUCACAAGGCAUGUUUGGCUACCGAGAAAAUAAGAGAAACUGAAGGAAAGUGGAGAAUUAUAUAGAGAGAAGAAGUAUGAAAAGUUCUACAAUUAGAAAAUGAAUCAAAAGUAAGGUUUUUAAAUGAGUAAAUCCCGUUUCUAUUUAUAGGCCAAGGUAAAAAGGACACUCAGCAACAUUUUAGAGGUCUUUCGGAUGCUUCUUCAUCAAGGAAUCUGGAAAGAAUGCAUUUUCGCACGAGCCCCUAGCAAUCUCGCAUGAUGGUGCGAAGUGGAGGAUCCAUCAGCUUCAAUUUCGUUCUUCUGGAGCAUUUCGCAUGAUUGUGCGAAAAUUUCGCAUGGUCAUGCGAAAUCACUUUUUCAUAAUUUCCCUAUGUGCUGCAGCCACAACCUUUCUAUUUCAUUUCGCAUGAUUGUGCGAAAAUUUCGCAUGAUUGUGUGAAAAUUUCGCAUGGUCAUGCGAAAUUGAAAAUCAUGCUAUUUCGGCUCCUCUUUGCAAUUUCUCUCAUUUCUUCAUGUUCAAUCCAUCUCCACCACCUUCAAUUAAGCUCCAAAUCCCAAUCCAAACUGAUUGCAUUGCUUCUUUCAUUAUGCAUUUGGAUCAUCAUCAACUUUAUUUGUUUUCUUCAAUUUGAUUAAUCUCUUUUGUCACCAAUUUAUCAAAAUUAUACCUUAAAAUGACUCCAAAACUUCAUAAAACUUGUUAGUAACUCUUGCAAGGGCAACAACAUGCUAAUUGAGUGUUUUAGGUAUAAUUACUACUCAAAAGAUGUGAAACUCAUGAGAAUUAUUAUCUAAAAUAUGCUCUUUUUGAGUAGUAAUCAUUCCCCCCAACCAACACAUGCUAGUCCCUUAGCAAUGGUAUAACAAAAGAAAACAAAAAUAAUACCAAACAAAAGAAAUCAUAAGUCACAUAAGAAAAUCAUUUGAAAAAAAAAAAUCUUUGAAAUUUCCAUAGCAUAAAUGGUUGAUAAACAAGCACACCCUACUAUCCAUAGGUAUCAACAAAAUCCCAACUUAUUUACUAUCUCUAAUAGAAAGAAUAUCAUGGAAGUCAAGGUAUCAAAAACAUAUCCAUUUUCAUUUCCCAAACAAUCUUUCCAAACAAGUCUUGAGUGUAAUUAAGCUAACUCCCGAAUAUAGUACUCAAAACUAAUCCUCCCCCCCAGCCUAACUCAAAUUAUCUCAAACAACAAAAAUCACUCUCUCAUAGGUCAAGAACGCACCUAUCUUUAUUUUAUUAUUUUUUUUUUCAAAGGACUUAUUGUAGGAGUGCAAUGCUAAAGGUAUCUCCAAGUAUAUGGUCCAUGUAGCGGGGAUUCAUCGAUGACUCCCAACCAUAAGGCAUAGGGCACCAAGUUUAUAGGACUAUUUAACCAGCCACUAACUUCUCAGACUUCACCCCGGACUCCUCAAAUUAGGAUCCAAUACCUUAGCACCUACAAUUGAGCUCAUACUCCACCUAUCCACCCAUGUAACAAGCAUUGAGGUCGGUGGCUCCCAACCAAAAUGGCUUAGGGCACCAGGCUUUAAAGACCUUUGGGCCAUAUACCCCUCGGACCUUGCUCAGGUUUCAAGGCAAGCAUAACUCAACCUUUUUAUUCAUCAACUUUUUUUUUUUCAAUUGGCCAUAUUGGCCUCUUUUUAAGGUGUCUCAACUCAAUUCAAGAGUAAUCAAUGUUACAAGACAAUUAAGUCCAAGUCUUAAGGUUAGAAUAGUUUUUCAUCUUAUAUCCGGGGUCUAAAGUGCACAGUAUGUGUCAAGACUCAAAUAGAAAUGACCCUUUGGAAAGUGAAGACUUCAAAGUCAAAUCAACUUUAAUUCACAUAACCAAUCUUCUAAGAUCAAGCAAAUAAGCUAGUAUUCUAAAUCAACUUUUUCCAAGUUAGGUUUGCUCAUUUAUCAAUCACAAAUGCUAUAGUCAUCUAAAAAAAAAUCUCACCAAAUAAGUCACAAAUGUGAUUUAUGAAAAAAAAAAAUUAUAGAAAAACUAAUAAAACUAAUAACAUAUUUCCUUCUCUUCAUUUUUAACCCUCCCCCCAACCUAACUUGUACAUUGUCCUCAAUGUGUAAUGAAAAUAUACAAAGAAAGGAAGGGAAGAUACCUCAAUCUCUCAUGAAUUUCAGCUUCAAUAGCUAAAACAAAAAUAAGACCACAAAUGAGAAUUGUCGGAUAUAAAUGACAUAAGAGAAGAAAAUAUGAAAACAAAUCUAUUAAAAACCAAAAAAAAACUAUGUUAGAAACACAAUGUAUGGAGUAAAAUCAAGGUAUAGAUGAUGACAAUGUCCAAAGAAAACAUGAUUUCAAUGAUAAGUUAAAGAUUAUCAUGGAGUUUUUGAAAAUUUCACACAAGUGUGCAAACUAGACAAGAAGGUGAAGUGUGUUGCAACCACUUUCUUCUUUUGAAAGAACUUGGCACAAUCAUGCGGAAAUUUGCAUGUACAUGCGAAUUAGUCAAGAAAGUUCUAUCUUAUUAUAACCUUCAACAAAAUUUCACAUAGUCAUGCAAAAAUUCGCAUGCUGAUGCGAAAUGCUCAAAAGGGUUCAUUUUUGCAACUAUCAUUUUCAGUUUUUGCACAGUCAUGCGAAAAUUUCGCAUGACUAUGCAAAUUGUGAUAGAAACUCAUUUUGCACAUUUCCAAAGGUAUGAAAACUCCCCUGUUUUGGCAUGAAAACUCCUCUGUUUUGGCAUGAUUCCCCUUGGCAUGACUGUGCUGUUUUGGCAUGACUGUGCAAAAAUGGUGAUGGACCAUAAAAACUCAUUUUUCCUUUGCUUCAUGCAUUCCAUCCAUCCGGAAAGUCCUUCAAAACACAAAUCAAAGAAUUGAGAUGAAUUUAUUUAAUGGAAACUAAAAAAAAUCAAAAUAAAAUAAAAAAAUCAAAAUUCAAAGGAGACUAAAGAAAUGAGAAGCCAUUGGGCUAGCUAGCCAUUGACAUGACUAAGCCCAUUAACAUUUGCAUCAAUACUCAAUUUGGAUAUGGCUUGCAAACAAUGAAUGGACCAACUCCUUGGUACUUAAGCUUUCCCGGAAAAAUAUGUGGCUUGAAAUAGCCUUCUUUGAACUUGUUCUUUUGUAUAAGUUGGUCAUGCCAUUCCUUGAGUUUCUUUUUCAUGGUCUUUGGAUUAUUUUUCAUACCAUGCUUCAUGGUUUUCACUUUCUUGAAACUGAAAGACCAUUUCAUUAACUUCAAAGGUUGAAUUUCUUCAUUGAUCCUCCAAACUUCAAUCCGUUCAUUGGAAAUUACUUCACCAAGUUUUGAAAAAUUAUCUUCAACCUUUUCUUUCACUAGCUCUUCCAUAGGCAAUUCAAUCAAAUAAGCCUCCUUAAGUUCCUCAUCCUCUUUGGUACCAUGCUUCUUAUAUGAAUGAAAAAUGUUCAGCUCAAUUGUCCUGUUACCAAAGGUAAGUUGCAUCACUCCACUUUGACAAUUAAUCAAUGCAUUUGCUGUGGCAAGGAAAGGUCAGCCAAGUAUAAUAGGAACAUGGUUGAGUCCACUAGUUCCUUGUUCCGUAUCAAGCACCACAAAAUCAACCAGAUAAUAGAAGUUAUCGAUUUGGAUCAACACAUCUUCAAUAAUUCCUCUUGGAAACUUAACCGAUCUAUCCGCCAAUGAAAGUGUGAUGGAAGUAGACUUUAGUUCUCCAAGCCCCAAUUGCUUAUAUAUCGAGUAAGGAAGAAGAUUCACACAUGCACCCAAGUUUAAAAGUACUCUUUUCACAAAAGUGUUGCCAAUCUUCACUGAGAUAGUUGGACAUCCCGGAUCCUUAUACUUGAUUGGAGUCUUGCAUUGGAUGAUUGCACUAACUUGUUCAGUCAAUAAAGCUUUCUUUUUCAAAUGCAUCCCUCUCUUUAUGGUACACAAAUCCUUAAGAAACUUGGCAUAGGUUGGAACUUGUCUUAUCAUGUCAAGGAGUGGUAUAUUAACUUUGACUUGCUUGAGAACUUCAAAAAUUUCUGGAGCAUUAUUUACCACUUUCUUGGAUUGAAGAGCCAUGGGAAAAGGUGGAGCUAAGAGCAUAUCUUUCUUCUUAACCUCUUCUUUAACAAUCUCAUCUUCCUUUGAUCUAUUAUCAUCAUUCACCUCUUUUCCUUUUUCUUGUUCUUUCACAUUUUCCUUUUGUUCCCCUCUUUUAUUCUCUUUUGGUUUUGGCAUAGGUUGAUCAACUUGCUUACCACCUCUUAAGGUAAUGACUGCUUUGACUUCAUCCUUCUCAAUAGAACUUUCACUUGUCUCUCCAAUUUCAUGGACUCCACUUGGAUUUUGUUGGGGUUGUGAAGAGAAUUUUCCUUUUUCUUGCACCGUAUGCAUGCUUGUGAGUUUAGAAAUAACAAGUUGCAUAUUAUCAAUCUUUUGUGUGAGAUUGGUUUGCAAGCUAUCAAAUUUCUGAUUGAAAGAUGUCUCCACAUGAUCUAUCAUUUGGUUUACUUGAGUAUUGAUAUUCUUUUGAUCACCAAUAAAAUUUCCCAAAAUUUUACUCAAGUUUACAAUAGCUUGCUCAACUAAAGAAACUUGUUGUGGAGAGUCUUCCAUGAAUUGUUGGCUUUGUGAGUGUUGCCUUGAAGAAAAUUGCUCUUGUUCACAAUUCCAUGACAUGUUCAGAUGACUCUCAACAAGUCUUUCCCCCAUGGUUGGUAUUGUAGGACAAUCACUCACUUCAUGUUCUAUAGAUUGAUAACUAGAACAUUGUUCCAUGUAAAUUGGAUUAUCAUAUAUUGCAUUCACCUCAUGAAAUCCCUUAGCUUCAAGUUCCUCUAGCCUUUUUGUCAAAGCUACUAUUUUAGCUUGUAGAUCAACAUCUUCAUUCAACAUAUACAUUCUCCCUUUUGAAUUGCUUUGAGACUUAGACUUGUGUAAAUCCCUUUCAUGUGGUUCAUCCCAUGACCUUGAUAUUUCAGCCACAUAAUUCAAAAAUUCAAAAGCUUCAUCGGGACUUUUGCUCAUAAAGUCACCUCCACACAUGGUUUCUAGCAAUUGCUUCAUAGUUGGCGACAUGCCCUCAUAGAAGUAACUCACCAACAUCCAUGUGUCAAAACCAUGAUGAGGACAAGCAUUGAUUACUUCCAUAUAUCUUUCCCAACAAGUAUAAAAUUUUUCAUUGUCCAAUGUCACAAAGUUGGUAAUUUGCCUCUUCAAGCCACUUGUGCGAUGUAUGGGAAAAAAUUUCUUCAAGAAGGUUGUUUGUAGUUCCAACCAUGACCUUAUGCUUUGGGGCCUCAAUGAGUUGAACCACAACUUAGCCUUAUCCUUCGAUGUGAAUGGAAAAAGCUUCAAUCUCAUAAGCUCUAUGGAUGCAGUCCCUUCUUGAAAAGUAUGACAAACUUCUUCAAAAUCCUUUAUGUGAGUAUAAGGAUUCUCAUUCUCCACUCCAUGAAAUUGAGGUAGAAGGGGUACCAAGUGAGUUUUUAUCACAAUAGGCUCAUUAGGAAGAACUAUACAUGAUCCCAUGCCUAUCCUUUGAGGAUGCAUAUAUUCUCUCAUUGAUCUAGACAUGUGAGAAUUGCAAAUGUUUGGUCCUUGUUGAGUUUGUUGAUUUUCCCCUUGAUUUUCCAUUUCCUCAACAAUUGGAUCACAAACCAAAAAUGAUUAGCAAUAUAAGUCCUUUUCAAUCUCUCCCUUGAGUUUUAUUCUAGCAUGCAAUGGAGAGCCUACAAAACAAGCUAGGAAAAAUCAAACCAAAACAAAAAGAACAAAAUAGAAAAAUAAAAGAUAAAAAAUGGAAUAAAAAAAUAAUUAAAAAACAUGGAGAAUCGGUAAAGAGAACUUCACCAAUCUUGUGAUGUGGAUCACAAGGGCUAAUCCUCACCAAAGAAAAUGCCUCAAUCACCUUGGCACCAUCCCCGGCAACGGCGCCAUUUUUGAUCGCUCGGAUUUUUGUCGUUUAUUGGAUCAAAACAAAAUUUAUAACCUAAUUCACUAUUCUAUAGCAAUUUGUACCCGAUCAAAAAGUGGUUUUAGUACAAACUACUGUAGUAUAGUGGUUUUUAGGUAUCGUCCACAAGGAUGGAUUAUUCUCGGUAAUUAAGGCUUGAACGAGAUGAUAAGGAAUGAUGGUGAUCAAAUGAAAUUUACUUGAAAUUGCAUGAUAAAAUCUCAAGAUAGCAAUGUAUUCAAAUUGAAUUGAAAAUGAAGUGUAAAAGAGAAGAAAAUUAAUAAGAUGUGAGAUUCUUGGAGUUAGGAUUUUCUAGAGAGCAAUUUCCAUGAUGAAUAGAUGUUAAGAUCUAAUUUUCAUCAAGUUAGAUUGAAAACCUAAAUUUUCAUCUAAACCGAUUUUUGAUUUAGCUUUAGAUCUAGAUCUAAUUUCUCUUCAAAUUAGGUAAUCUAAUCCAAGAGAUCAAUUUGAAUCAUAUAUUCAAUUCAUCUUAAAUUAUCUUCCAAUGAUUCACACAAUGCAACUAUUCAAUUUCAUCAAAUCUAGCAUUAAGAAUUUAAUGAAUCUACCUAACUUGCAUUGUAGUAAUCAUCCAAGACAAUUUGAAGAGAAAAAUCCCCAAAUUUCAAUUAAUCAAUCAAUUGGAUCAAAUUACCUUAGCAAUUCAAGCUCAAUUCUCUAAUUCACCAUAGAUCUUGCCUCUAGAUCCUCCCUCCUCCGAGAAAAACGAGAUUUAGCCACUCAUGUUUGAAGAUUUGAUCUCACAAGACAUGUUUGGCUAUCGAGAAAAUAAGAGAAACUGAAGGAAAGUGGAGAAUUAUAUAGAGAGAAGAAGUAUGAAAAGUUCUACAAUUAGAAAAUGAAUCAAAAGUAAGGUUCUUAAAUGAGUAAAUCUCGUUUCUAUUUAUAGGCCAAGGUAAAAAGGACACUCAGCAACAUUUUAGAGGUCUUUCGGAUGCUUCUUCAUCAAGGAAUCUGGAAAGAAUGCAUUUUCGCACGAGCCUCUAGCAAUCUCGCAUGAUGGUGCGAAGUGGAGGAUCCAUCAGCUUCAAUUUCGUUCUUCUGGAGCGUUUCGCAUGACUAUGCGAAAAUUUCGCAUGGUCAUGCGAAAUCACUUUUUCAUAAUUUCCCUAUGUGCUGUAGCCACAACCUUUCUGUUUCAUUUCGCAUUAUUGUGCGAAAAUUUCGCAUUGUCAUGCGAAAUCGAAAAUCAUGUUAUUCUGGCUCCUCUUUGCAAUUUCUCUCAUUUCUUCAUGUUUAAUCCAUCUCCACCACCUUCAAUUAAGCUCCAAAUCCCAAUCCAAACUGAUUGCAUUGCUUCUUUCAUUAUGCAUUUGGAUCAUCAUCAACUUUAUUUGUUUUCUUCAAUUUGAUUAAUCUCUUUUGUCACCAAUUUAUCAAAAUUAUACCUUGAAAUGACUCCAAAACUUCAUAAAACCUGUUAGUAACUCUUGCAAGGGCAACAACAUGCUAAUUGAGUGUUUUAGGCAUAAUUACUACUCAAAAGAUGUGAAACUCAUGAGAAUUAUUAUCUAAAAUAUGCUCUUUUUGAGUAGUAAUCAAUACAUAAUUGUUCAUUACCAAGGAUUUAAGCAUGUGGGUGAUCACAUAAUACGUUAUAAAGUAAAGUUGUGUCACUCACAUCAUAUAAUUAGCUUAACAAUCACAUCACAUAAUUACUUUAACAGUUGUCAUGUCUUUAUUCCAUUGGACAUUCUCUUCUCCAAAGAGAAGCACUCUGAUAUGUCUUUCUUUAAUUUUCUCUCUUCCUUAUGAUAAAAUUUGAAGCCAUGUUGAUAAAAAUAGAAAGAAAGAAAGGGAUUCUUCUAUCUAUAAUCCAGCUAGAAUAUUGAAGUAAAAGUUUUGUGCAACGUGGGUCAAAUUGAGCAUGCACUAGAGGUGAUACAUGUUAUAUACCCCCAUGAAUUCAAAUUUAAGUUUUCCUUCCAACCAAUUUCAUUAAGAAUAGUUAUAUUCAAGUAGUGGAAUAUUGGAAGUACAUUCAAUAUUUUCAAUUAUUAUAUAAUUAUAUAUGUGAAAUAUUAUUAAAAUAUGCACUAGGUAGUGGCAUAUGUGCAUUUCAAUUUCAAUAAUAUUUAUAUGAUUGAUAUAUGUUAUGCUCAUUAUCGCGAUUGCUUAGUAAAACAUAUUAUAGCUUGAAAUAAUUUAUACAUCAAAAUUACUAGCUACACGUGAAUACAGAAACACUAAGCUUCUAAUUUUCUUUAUUUCAAAUCAAUCGAUUUCUUCUUAUGGGUCAGAUAUUCAGUGUUUCGAGACUAUGACCCAUUUCACCUUAUGAUCAGAGCAGUACCAUAGCUAUAUCCAUAUCCUGAUUUUGUAGACUUGAUGACCUACCCAUUUUGAGCCUGACAUGACACCACACAUUAGUACCAUUAUAUGACCUUACCAUCGUUGUUCAUGUUAGCAUACUAUAGUACCAUUGCCUAUUCUUUCCAUCUUUUCUUUGAUCUAACCAAGUAGAGUCCGAGAUGGUUAGACCUGAGGUGAGCUCUACAUGAUGAUAAAUGGAUCAUGAUGAAAGAGUGGUUUGACUGUUUGAUGAUAUUGCUGAGACAGAGGGGUUAUCAUGGAGCAUCCAGAUUUGAGCCAUUACACAUGACUUCAGAGAGUCGAGAUGACUAAAGAUAGUGAUUUUAUGAGACGAUGGUGAGUGACUUAUGAUGAUAGAGUGAGGUGAUUGUCAAAGAGCUUUGAUGAUUAUCACAAAGCAUCAGUGGGAGCUUUCACACUAUUUCAAAGAAGUUGACAUGACUAUGUUUGAUAGAUGUUAGUCUUUAGUAUUGACCAUGUGAGAUCUUGAGGGUGUGAUGUCUCUGGUUGUGGUUAAAUGAUGGGUGGCCAUUGUUUCAUGAGCUCAUUUACCCUAUUUACUUUAUCACCAUCGCAUAUAGAGUUACCUGUUGCUAACCCUUUGAGCCUCACACGAGCACCAUAGACUUUAAUUUCAUCACUUCAUUUACAUAUUACAUCGGGUUGGGGACCCUAUAGUGUUUACAUGCUUUGAUUAGAUACGUCACAAGUUUUAGACCUGACAUACAUAUUCAGGCCUUAUCUCUCACCCUUCAUUGUAAUAUUUUCCACUUUGACACUAUCUCGUCACUUUUUCCAGCAUCACUUAUCACCACUUAUGAUAUUCAUUCUCUAUCUUUUCUCUAAUCAUUGUUUAAUCGACAUUAUCCUUGUUUCACCUUGAGUGGUGGUUUUUCACACGUCAUUGCAUGGAGGAUUGUCACAUUUUUUUCCCCCGUUCACCCCAUGGGCAGUGGUUCAAAGAUCUCAGUUUGGGAGGUUGUCUUGUUAGUGAGGAUUCAUGUUACAUCCAUAUGUGGAGAGGGUUUGAUCAUUUGGGUAUGUAUUUUCAUUGGAGGUCAUUCAUUAUUGAUCAAAGUAUGCGCAAAAAAAAAACAAAAAACAAAAAACAAAACAAAACAAAGAAUAUAAAAGAUAGCACAUUCUUCAUUGUAUCGUUUUCCAUUGACCACAUGUAUGGAUGUGUUGGUUUGCUUCAUUGAGUUUAUGCGUUAGAGAGAGUUCAUAUGGGAGUUUCUUUUUUAGAUUCUAUCUUAGUAUAUAUUUGGGUUAGAGUAUGAGUCACCCAUUCGAUUUUCGUGAGAGGCAAGCUACAUUUUUUUAGGAUUUCUGGAUUUUUACCCUAUUCGUCAUUACAUCCAUUUUUAUGUGACUACUUUCCAUGUUUAGAUGUAGAUUGACCAUCACUCACUUUCCUAUUUUUUUUGUCUUCUUAUAUCUUUAUUUUAUUCUUUCAUUUCACUCUACUUUAUCUGAUUUCUUUAUUUUAUCAUCCUACUUGAUGUUUGACUUGGGUUCAACAUCCACACUUUAUUCUUGCUUAUUUGAUAUGUCAUUUAUUUAUUAUCAUUUUUCAUGUGGGAAUCCUUAUGUCUGUGACUCAUAAUGUUUUCUACGCAUUGCGUCUCAUGCAUGAGGGGUAUGGGGAUUAUAUCAUUGGGAUUAUUGAGCCUAGUUUCCUCUUGUUUCUUUCACCCUAUUACCUUAGCCUACGUUACGUCCCAUGUCUUAAGACCACCCUGAGGUCGUCACUUCACACAUUGUACUUGACAACUCACACAUGGGCAAUACUUGAGAUUGGUUGGAGAUUAUUUCUUAAAGCAUGAUGAAUGAGGAGCUAUGAUAUGAUUUACAUUGGGGUAUACCCCGCUCAUCGAUGACAGUUUCUUUUGGGAUGAUAUCUUGCACUGGGGCAUAGUUAGUUACUUCUUCACUUGGAUUGUGAUGGAUUGAGAGUUAUGGAAUGACCCUACACUAGGACAUUUUCAGAGAGCACUUUUAUUGGAGAUACAGUCACUCUACUUGAUACUCUACAUUGGGACACAUUCCUCUCAUCAAUGGUUGAUUGUUGAGAUGACGGUUUAUUUUGAGACACGGUUGCUUUAGAGAUUGUGUAUGAUGGACACAACCACUCUGUUAUUUUUAUGGAGGACAGGGUGAUUAGGAUUUGUUUAUAUUAUAUUUGUAUUUUCAUUUUCAACAUUAAGUGAUAAGAUUGACCUUGUUCUAAGGACACAUACUGAGACAUAGCUCUUUCAUUGAUGAUGGACUUUGAUUUAUCUUGGAGCAUGAUCACUUCAAAUAGUUUAUACUAGGACAUAGCCACUUCAUUCUCAUUCAUAGAGCACAUGGAUUUUGAUUCAUAUGAGUUUUUUCUUCUGAUUAUCAAUUAUUAUACUUAAUGAAUAUUGUUUGAUCUUCGUUUUGUCCUUUGAUAUGCAUGUGAUAAUUUUAUACUUGAGCUAACCUUGUUUCCAUGAUAGCGCAUUAUUAUUUGCUGUUAAGAUAUGCUCCCACUCCUACUUCACUUAUUUAUUCGUUCUCAUCCUCGAUUUGUUUUAUUAUUCAAUCAUUUUAUUAGUAUCCAUCGAUUUCCUUAUCAAUUGUCACGUUUGUUUAACCUUAUUUAGUAUAGACCCAUUUUUAGAGGCUUAGAGGGGUGUUAUGGUCUUUAUCGUACCUUUGCAAUAAGCAACCUGACCUCCGAACCCAGGUUUGGUUUUUCACAAACCGUCUUUUCCAAAUAAGAAGUCACACUUAAGGUUUUUUUUUUUCCCUUAAAAUAAAAUAAAAUUAAAUUAAGUGGCGAUUCCAAAUCUUUUCUAAAAAAAAACCAUAUUUUUCAAUAAAUAAAAAAAAUGAGUUUGUCAUUGAGUAGGAACGCAUCGAGCAAAAAUAUGGGAUCCACAUCAACCCAUCUACCCAAAAAAUAAUAUAUAUAUAUAUAUAUAUAUAUAUUUGAAGUAAAUUUUUAUUAUUAUUUUACACUCUCCAAAUAAUUUCUUUAUCUUAUAUCUAAAUUUAUUUCUAUGUACUCAAUUUUAUAUUUUUGUAAUUAAAUCUUAUGCAUUUGUAUCAUCAUUCAACAUUUAGAUUUAAUCAUAUACUUGAGCAUAGUUAUAGACUUCAAAAUUUGUUUUAAAUUUAUUUUUUUAAAUCAAAUUUUCAUAAAUAAAAGUGAAUCUUGUUGGGUACGCAUGUAAAAAACACAAAUCCAUAAUUUCGUAGAUAUACAAAUUGGGCAAAUAUUUCUUUUUCCUAAAAGAAAAUGGUAUACUUUUACCAAAUGGAACAUUCCAAUUUCUUCUAUAAAAUAUAGUCGAUUCUCUUACACUAAUCAAAAUUAAAGAUAUUUUACUGUAAUGUUUCACGCUUGCUUGAGAUUGGAUCAAUUUUUCACUUACACAUUUUUAUUUUUUCAAAGAUGCCCUUAGAUUAAUGCAUGCGAAUGUGUACAAUCAACUGCGCAGACAUUCCAUGUUAACAAAAGUCAAGAAGAUAGGCUAGUUGAAAAUAAGUGCGUCCAUAACGGUUUCUAAGACUCAUACGGUGUUUGUUUUUUUAAUUUUUUAUAAAAAUUAAUUUUUAAAAAAAAAUUAGAUUGUUUAUUUUUUUACUUUUUCAUAACUUAUUAUAAACUUUGUACUAAAUAGAAAAAAUCAAAAUAUAUAAUUUUUUCUAAAUAGAAAAAAUAACAUAUUAGUUUUUUUUUUACUUUUUAAUACUUAAUAAAAAUAAAAUAUUAUAAAAACAAACAACCUAAUAUUUAACACUAUUAACCAUUAAAGUUCUAUUUAAAAUUAAGUAAAAAAACAAAUAUCAUUUUAGUGUUCAGAUAAAUGGAGACAGACCCACCGCGUGUAAUGGGCAAUUGGGCGCACCAAAUUUGUAAUCCUAAGGCCUAACACCAAGUUCUGUGUUGACCUAUUAUACUUGUCAAAUGGAUGUAUGUCGAUAUGAGAAAUGUUUUUAAAAAUAAUUUUGAGAAACAAAAUUUUAGAAUAAUUUUUAAAUAUUGUGCUAUAAUAUUUUAUAAAGUAGAAGUUUGUUUAGAAGCCCUAAAAUAUUUUUACUUCCGAUGUAUGUAACACUUAAAUUUUUUUAUUAAAAUAAUUAUUUUCAAAUAUUAAAAAUAUUAAAAACAUCUCCUAAAAUCAAUAUCAAACAUAUUUUAAAUAUGUUUUAAAAUGUAAUUUUGCAUAUAAUAUUUUAUAUUUUUAUUAUUAGUAUUUAUAUAAUUACUUUUAAAAUAGUUUUUAAAAAAUAAUUAAAAAUAAUUAAAAUAUUUUAUUUAAAAAUACCUUAUAAAAAACUUUGUCCCUUUUUCAUUAAAGAAUAGAAAAUUAUUCUAUAAACAUAGUAAACAAAGUGGUCUGAAUGCCCAGAUUGUCGCCCUAUUUUGGAAUUAUGAUGGGCGGCCUUUCUGUGGCAGCAGGAGGCUCAGUGGGCGGAAUGGAGCCCAUUUUGCAAGCAGGCCACAAAGUCGUUUGCUUUUCGUGAUUGUACUAGAAAUUUCUCUUGAUUUGAUGGCAAGAAAUCAUUGGUUUCAUUUCAAAUAUAUAAUCACGAGAAUAAGGUUUUGGAAAAUUAGACAUUUGUGAAGAUAUAAAUACAUAAAAUUUUAUCAGAAAUUGGUAGUUAAAAAAUGUUAUUAAAAAAAAGGAGGGGAAAAUAUUGAUGGAGUUGAAGGCGACAGAACCUGGCCUAAUUUCAUAAGUCUUCAAAUUCUAUGCAACUUGAGUGUCUCCAAAAUUUAGAAUUUAAAAAUUCGUCCCAAGCCUAACUUUUGUUUACUUAAUUAAUCAAACGUCUGCCGUGCUAUUAGACCAUCCAACCUCCAUCCUCCCUAUAAAUACCCUCAAAUCUUCAAACCAAGACCAUUCACAUUUUCACAUCUCCCCUCACUCCCCUCCUCUUCUCUUCUUCGUCUCGAUCCUCUCCCCAGCAUGAAGUCCCUAAAGCUCGUUAUUCUCAUGCUGGCCCUGCUCUUGGUCAUGGUUGCUAUACGCUCAGUCUCAUCAGCUAAAGAAGAAGACUUCAUGUUUGAUCUAGACCAGGAUGACAGCAUCGCUGCUGAAGCUGAAAAUUCUGAUCAACUUCCAUUACUUGAAAGCGAGCAGCCGAUAUCGCUUAGGGGGACUAGCCGCUUUCUGACGGAGGCGGCCCGGAUCAAGGUGACGUGCGACAAGUACCCUACAGUAUGCUUAGCCAAGGGAAGUGCAGGGAAGUACUGCUGCAAGAAGAAGUGUGUGAAUGUGAGGACGGACAGGCUCAACUGUGGGGCGUGUGGGAAGAAGUGUAGGUACUCUGAGAUUUGCUGCAAAGGUAAGUGCGUCAACCCUUCUUCAGACAGGAGGAAUUGUGGGGGCUGCGGCAAGAAGUGUCAGAAAGGGAGUCUCUGCGUGCAUGGGAUGUGCAGCUACUCGUAGAUUUCUGAGCAUUGUUGCUUUACAUGGUAAAAUUUCUAUAUUCACGUAACUAUGGCGAGCCAUCACCAUUUGAUGGGCUUGCAAAUCCGAGUUUUUUUUUUUUUUUUUUCUGAUUCUUCGUGAGGUCUUUACUGGUAUAGAUGACAACAAUAAGCCAGUUCACAGUACCUGAAAUCCAAGACACUUCUUCUCUACCGGACUGGCCGCUUCCUGCUCAUUACUGAGCAAGGAGAGAAGGAUUGCAGGAACUGUGGAUGGAGUGUGUAGUUACAAAUAAUAAUUGCAUGUAUACUUCAUAUGAUGGAAAGCGGAUCGUGUUGAUGAUUCGUUCAAUAAAAGGAACAUAUGGGAUAUGCUAUUAUCCUCCAUUGUUGAAGUAUGAUAUCUUGCUUUUGUUGGC
This 44394-nucleotide long non-coding RNA is filed under the name Vitis vinifera (wine grape). Its description in RNAcentral is "long non-coding RNA (VVIN_LNC003080)". Lineage: Eukaryota; Viridiplantae; Streptophyta; Magnoliopsida; Vitales; Vitaceae. The record is from RNAcentral.